RNAcentral lists this long non-coding RNA (58412 nucleotides) under Coffea arabica (coffee). The record is from RNAcentral. Lineage: Eukaryota; Viridiplantae; Streptophyta; Magnoliopsida; Gentianales; Rubiaceae.
AUCCCUACAAAAUUUUUUAAAAAAGAUCGAUGCUUUUUUAUUAAUACAUGCCUAUAGAUUAUCAUAUCAUGUCAACUAAGACCCUCGAGUGUUAUUUAGUUUAAAACUUUAAAUGUUUUUCAUCUUGUCAAUGUUUCCUUAAUAAUAUGGCACAGCAACACAAUUUUACAUAUUCUACGGGCACAUUUUCAACCAUCAAGGAUUUAUUUGAUACAGAACCAUGAGUUAUGAGUUAUAGUAGCGCUUGCAUCAAUAAAAACCACACUAUACUAUACAUUUGCUAUAAGCAAAAAAAAAGACAGAGAUAAAGAAGAACGACACAGCAUACCAGACUCUUGAGUCCUCUGAAAUGAAUAUCUUAGGUUCAAGCCUCAAGGUUGGUUUGUUGAUUAAAAAACCUUACCGUCCAGUGGGAUUCAGAAUCUCAGAGAAAACACUGUCACACCUUGAAGUUGUCACUGCUUGCCGUGGAUGUCCAAGUUGUAAUACCACCAUCUCAAUCUUGCCAGCAGAAUCUUGAUCGCCUUCUGAUUCAGAAAUCACAUCUGUAUCAUCAUCGGUCAUAUUUUGCACAUCUCCUCCAUGCAUAUGCAAGGGAAAUGGAUCAGGACGACCACCCUCAUUUUCAGCUGCCUCCUGGACUUGCAAUGCAAAUUCAAGGCCACCAACUACAUCAUCCAUUCCCGGUCGUUGAAUCCCUUGAUCUUUCAAACAAUUAUUGGCUGUUUCAGCAAAAAUCCUCAAACAUUGGGGAGCAAUCUCGCCCUUCACAUCUGGGUCUACAACUCGAUGGAUAAUCCCUUUUUUGUAACACCUCUUGGCCCAUUCAGCCAAAUUCACCUGCUCCUGGGGUAAGUCUAGAAUAAUAGGUGCCCGACCACACAAAACUUCAAACAAAACCACCCCGAAUGAGUACACAUCGGACUUGUCCGUCAAUUGCUGUCUCGUGUAGUACUCCGGAUCUAUGUAGCCAAAACUCCCCUUGACCUGGGUGCUGAUAUGGCUGUAAAUCCCACUCGGACCAAGUUUGGAUAAUCCGAAAUCCGAAACUUUGGCCACCCAUGCCUCGUCCAAUAAUAUGUUGGUUGACUUGACAUCGCGGUGAAUGAUAGUGUGCUUGGUGCCUGUGUGGAGAUAAUCCAACCCUUUGGCGGCGCCAAUGCAGAUUUGAAGGCGUUGUUUCCAUGGGAGCGGUGGAUUGUCUGUUCUAUAGAGAUGAUCGCGGAGGGUCCCAUUAGCCAUAUAAUCGUAAACCAAGAUCAUCUCACCCUUUUCAUCACAGUGGCCUAUCAAAGAAACCAAAUGAAGAUGUCUUAAAUUUGAUAGCAUCUCGAUCUCGGUUUGGAAUUCGCGGGCACCCUGUCUUGAUGAAGGAUUUAAUCGCUUUAUAGCAACCGUGGUUAGAAUGUUGUCUAUGUACCCUUUGUACACGUUUCCAAAUCCUCCGGUUCCAAUCACAAACUUGGCAUCAAAGUUGGCCGUAGCAGAUUUAAUCUCUUCCAGCAAAAAUCUCCUAAGCGACGACGAACCUGGUGCUCCAGUCUUUAUUGACCUUGGCGGGGUUGAAAGUGGGGUCCAAGAUGGCUUUGAAGCACUUUUCUGCUCCACGUCUUUUAUCCCUCUCUUCCAUCGCCACCGGAAAAACAAGAAACCAAUGAUUAAAACCAUGGCAGCCCCUCCUGCUGCCCCUCCUGCGAUGGCAGCAAAAGGUACUCGAGAUUUUCCACGACUCCCCUUGGGAUCAUGAUUGGUCCCGCCAAGACUGCCGUUGGUGUUAUUCAAUUUAAACAAUUCUAAGCCAUUCAAGAUCGCAUCGGCAUAUUUUGGUUCAACGUCAAGAUUUGGGUACAGAGCAAGAAACAAGCCUUGCUUGGUCUGGCGACCCUCUGGUGGGUUUGGAACGAACACGAGGUAGUCUCUGAGAACUGGGAUUCCUGGGCCGCCUGCCCAAUGUAUAAGAUCGGCAACUGGCUCAGCUGUUAUGUUACUAAUAAAUAUUAUGAACACCCGUUCGUAAUCCGCUGCAAUCAAAUCAGGAUUAAUCUCACAAAAAUGCAACCUCAUGAGAUAAUAAAACCCAGAAUCAACAGGAAACAUCCAGCUCAAGUUGAAGCGGGUGCUGAACUUUCCCAUCGCCCUGGCAGUAGCAUAAACAACUGGGGGCGCGGUGUAAUUUGGGGUCUGUGGAGUGUACUUGAUGGCAAUUUCAUUAUUGCUCAGUGGAUUUCCUUCAUCUUCGCCCCAGAGGAAAUUGUAAUCUGAAGCCCAUUCCCGGAACAUCCCACUAUCGUCCACCACAGAAACAUCUUGGCCUCCUACGUUGAGCCUGUAAAGAGUUUCAAAGGCAGUCUUAUCCUGAUCAAACUCGAACUGGCCAUCCACGACUUUGAGGGGAUCAGUGUUGCCCAUGUAGAGAUCGUCUGGGGUUGAAACAAUUUCAAUUCCAUUAACGAAAGCAUAGGAAUUUGAAGGGGGAAAAAAGGUAACAUUAAGGAAUUGAUUCAUAUCCUGAACAUUGAUGACAUAUUCUUUUUUAACAAAGGGUGGUGAGAAUCCCUCGCUAGAAACUGUGAGAUAUGCGCUAAAGUUACUGAGAAGGUUGUAGUUAUUAGCCGUGACAUUGAAGAAAGACUCAGUUGUGUUGAGACCGCCGGAGUACGAGGUAGGGUAGAAGUAAAGGCGGAGGAACUUUUUGCCUAGGCUGACAGGGAAGGUGUAAGAGAAUUGAGAACGGAUGAUUCGGGCACUUGAAAAAGGGGCUCGGCUGACUGAGGGGCCUAGCUCAGUGGCUGUGACUGCUGAUGAAAUAUUUGCCAUGUCGUUCGGUGAGAAUUUUGAGCCCACGUCGCCGUCCCAUUUCCGGCCAUCAACUGAAGUUGAAUUCGAGGAUGAGCCGCAGCUGAUCAGGAUAUAAUCUGUGGGGGUGUAAGGCGGAGUACUGCCAGUGGAAGCGAUGACUAACAACAAAUUGAAGAGAAAGCAGAGGUAUACAAGAAGAGUGAACAUUAGAGCAAAGACUUGCAAGAAAAAAUAUAUAUAUAUUUUUCGGCUCAAAUGUUCUGAUGGAAAAAUUGGUCGUUAUUCCAUUGAAGCGUAGGAUUGGGAUUUCACCAUUUGUCUUUAAAAAAUGUUGUGGAAUUUAAAGUCCCCAAUUCAAAUGAAGAAGGGAACGGUAGCAGAAUUAACAUCAUGAAGUGAGGAUGGCAUUGUCAAAAUUAACUCUCUAAGUUGUUAAAAUGAACUCUCUAAGCGUGGACUUGUUAAGUUGGAAAAGUCAAGUCAUUGGGCAGAUUUAAUGCGUCAAGUCAUUGGGCCAAUAAAAUGCACGCGUAUAGAUUUAUUCUCCCAAAUAAAGCUUAUGGAAGCAGCUGCACCUUGGCAAAUAAUUAGUUGCACUUCUCUCUUUUUAAUUUCAAGCAGAAGUCAUCAAGAUUUGCAUUAAAUCUGCGUUUUCUUGAUCUAAGCUUACAUGAUUAAUCGAUGGUUAUGUAACCUAGAAUUAUGGAGCAAAAUUGGCUUAGAAGUAUGAUGCAUUCUCUUGGUAAUUUUAUUUUAUUUUUGAGAAAAUGAUCCAAAAUUUCACUUUUCAAACCAUGCAAAACUUGCUUUAAAUUUUGAAAACAUACCAAUAGCGUUCCAUAACCCAAUUUCGACCAAGUUUCUGGCAAAAUGGAAAAAACAUGCGCAUUAUAUCAAAUUUCGGCCAAAUUUCAACCACAUGCGCAUUAUAUCAGGUGCAAAAUGGAAAAUCAAAAUUCUUCCCAAUCAAAACUCAAAGAGAAAAUGAUGAAUUUCAUCCCCUUAUAUUUUUGCAAAAUAUUUUUUUCCAUCGCACAUAUUUAAAGCUUGUAAAAUCUAUACCCUUACAAGUUGAAGAUGUACUACUAAUUUCCUCCAAAAAAAUGAGUUUUUAUCAACUUUUAGGUAAAGGGUAGCAUACCCUAGUUUAGGUUUGCAAACGAAUCAAACCGCUCGUAAGCUGCUCAAGUUAAAACUCGACUCGAGUUUGGUUGAUAUUGAACUCAAUUCGAGCUUGAGGUGACCAAGUCAAACUCGAGUUCAAAGAUACUUAGUUCACUAACUCGCGAGUCGACUCGAUUAUAUAAAUAUUUAUAUUAAUAGUAAAAUUACAUAUAUAUCUCUAAUAUUUUAUUAUUUGUUAAAAAAUUAUUAUUUUAUUCAUUUUUUAAAAAAUAAAAUAAAUUUUUUUUUUUAACCAUGAGGUUUGAGAGUUCGUCGAGAUCAAACUCGAAUUCGAGUUUGAUAAAACUAAGUCAAAAUUCGACUCAUUUCGACUCGACUUGUUUGCAACUCUAACCUAGCUACAUUACAAUAUUUCAAGGCUGUUAAUCAACUAAAUGACCAAAACAAAAGCAAAUAGCGAAUUAAACCUCGUUGCUUCGCUGACGGAUACAUGUUUCAUUAUGUGAAGGAAAUAGUAAUGCAUAGCCACCAAGCCAGAACAAUUCGACUGCAAAUUGUUGAUGUAGUAAUUUAUAAAAGCUAGAUAAAAUUCUUCUAUGUUUCAAUGAUGUUUACUUUUUUUUUUGGCUUGCUCUACUUUUAUACAGCUCUCAUCUGUUGUGUUAUCAACAGAUUCAUAGACGAAUUUGUCCUGUUCCAUGGGCUUGAUUAUAUUUUCUUCAAAUAAUCAACAUGCAAUAACUAGUGAAGCAACGAGAUUCUAGCGCGACAUCUACUUUUGUCUUCGUCAUUUGGUUGACUAAUAGGCCUUGAGAUGAUUUACAAUUGAUUUAGAUUUGGUUUUGGGAUGAAAUUGGUACAUGUUCAAAAUGACAGGGAUGGUUUUGCAUUCUUUUAAAUGUGAUGGAUGAAAGAAAAUAUUUUCAAAUAUGUGAGGGACAAAGUUGGCCAUUUCCUCAUUUAAUUUUAGAGGGGAAGAGUUUUACCUUUCGAUUUUGCCCCUAAUAUAUUAAGCGCGUGAUUGGGGUAUGAAAUUCUUAGCUGGAGAGUUGAUCGAAUUUGAUUUAUGGGACUAAAGUGGUAUAUUUCCAAAAUAUAAGCAUUAUUUUAUGAAUUAAUCUUCUAUACACUGACAGCGUAUACACUUUCACCAUUAGAAGUAUGACAUGUAAUCCGAAUUUGAAUUUAAAAUUCGAAUUUUACAUAUGUAUCGUAUAUCCAAUCAUGAUAGUAUAUACAUCGUCAGGGUGUGACAGCCCCACUUUCCUCUAAGGCGAACCAAAGGGGUUAGUGGACUGCCUGCCCAGCUCUCGCCAGGACUAGCGGUUCAGUUUAAAGCGAUCUAAUACGUUCCGGAAUAUACAAACGCGCGUAAACAAGUCAAAAUCGCAAAUAAAUAAAAAAAAAUGAAAACGGGGUCGGCCAUGAAUAGUAACCAACACGUCAAAAUCCAACCAAGCAUCACUCAAAUAUAUACAUCUUGAAAUUUAGCAUAUACAAUCCAAAGUGGCAUACAAAAGUAUUCAAAAGUUGAUACAUGUACGGUUUGCCAAAUCAAAAGAGAAACGGACCCAAAAGUACAUUUAGGGUUUCAUUCAAUGAGCUAUACAAAAGAUAUGUCCAUCUAGCUCAAUUCGGCAACCAACUAUCAAAUCCAGUCCAAAAGUAUUUAUUUUCCUGUAAGGAAAACAAAAGAGACAAAAAGGGGUGAGCUUGCGCUCAAUGAGGUACCAGACACAUAGCAGUAAAAUCAUGGCAUUUCACAUUUAACAAAUCAGGUACACAUGCCAGAUGUAAGUAAAGGAACCAAUGAUUCAAAUAGGAAGGAUAUAGGUGGCUCUCAGGAGCCAAAUUCCCAUUCGCGUCACCGAAGCUUGAUCAAAAUAAUAGUUUACACUCCGUCAACGUUAAAGGAGUAACCAAUACCGUAGACCCCACUUUCUCCGAUUCCUUCCACCUCACAUACCCCUACCGGGCCCGAACUCCAAUCAGAUCAGAAAUGGUAAUACUCGAGUAUACCCGGAAUCAAGGGUCUCAAUACCCAAAGAUCCCAAAACAGACUACCGUGGUUCGUUAUCUAAUCGACCAGGCCCUUGCCGGCCCGACUCGAGUAACUAGCCACAGGGGUUGAGCUCAGAGGUCACAGAAAGGUUGUUGGAUACAAGUUUCCAAACGACGUCCGGACAGAUACAGAUACAGAUAUCAGAUACAAUACAGAUUCAGAUUCGCACCCAAAAUUGGCAUAUGAACAGACAAGAGAACGAGUGUGAUAAAGUACACUCUCGUCUCUUACAAAUUAAACAGAUAGUGUAGUCAUUUAAAUCACAUAUUGCAGGGCAGAAAUCAAGUUAAACAACAAUUGAGGGGAGUGGUACACUCACCGGUCCAAGUACGGAUACUUCCAAAAGGUUUCACUUCAAACUGGCUUUAAUCGCCAAGAAACCCUAAACGAACCAAAGUAAAACAAUUAUGGUUCCCACUUUCACGAAUCCAGUACACGAAAUGCAUACCUAAAACUUAACUAUAAGUCGUGUGCCUGAUCACAUUAGCUACCAGUGCAAAGAAAUAACAAUGAAAUUGGAGAAAAAGGUAGCGGUUAGUAUCAAAACAUGAACAACCCGAAAACCCUUCGCUCAAGUCACAAGUAAAUCCAACUAGCAUUCAAGAAAAAAAAUUUCGGCAGCAAGUCCCUUGUGUUUACCUAUUUUCCAGCCAUUAAUGGCUUCAUUAUUUCCUCAAAUCAGUCCCAAUAUCUCAUACCAAAAAUAAUCUCAUUUCCAAAAACCGUUCACUAAGAUUAAAGUCAUUCAAGUACAAAAUUUAGCUAGAAAAAUGACCGGAAACGAAAGUCAAGCCCUAAAACUACUCAAAUAAACACAAUAAGACUCGUUUACAAGUCAUAAACCAAUUCCAGUUAUCACCAAAAAUAGAGCUCCAUAAGCAUACAUAAGCAUUAGAGGAAACCAGAAAAAUCCGGAAAUGCAAUUAGCUUUGCCCUGAAAAAAAAACAAUUUUUAACCUCAUUUUGCGGUAAUGGCACCAAAGGCACUACAAUUAUCGGAUGAAGGUGCAAGACCCACCAUUUCGAAGCUAAGAAACAGAGCUACAAUAUUGAAGAAGGUCACUCAGCCCAGUUCCGAGUGAAAACAGAUCAAAAAUGCAAGAUACUACACUAGAACCGCAAAAACAGAUUCACAAACCACAUUCUGCUGCAAACAGCAUAAAUCAACCUACUUAAGUCUAAAUCCAGUAAUUCCAAAGCCAUCCAAAAGCUUAGAAACAGGGAUACAUUUCAUCAGAAGACCUCAACAACCAAUUCGGAAGCAUUCUCAACCAAAAUAACCCAUUACAGAAGCAAUUCCCAAUUUCGGGUAAAACCAGGACAGCAAGGGUAAUUUCGAUUUUUCUCAAGCUACGCUACUCCGAUUGACCUGAAAUUUUGUAGGCACCUCUAAAAUGUCAUUCCCUACAACUUUCAUGUUUUAAACCAAGGCCAAUUCGGCCUCUAACUAUGAGCUACAAAACCGGGCAGAAUGUAAUUCCAAAAACCCUAACUUUUCAAUUUUUCUUCCAAACAGAAAUUGCUCGCAAUUAUCCACUUUUUCCACCUCCUAGAUGCCUUAAAUACCAUUUCCAAUCAUCAUACAUAGCCUCACAAUCAUAUUCAUAUGAAAACAGAAAAAUCCCCAAUAAUUAGAAAACUUCAUCAAUUCAACCAAAAAUCAAGAUUUAAUCUAUAAAAUUGCAUCUUAUACCACCACUAAUCAUGAAUUAAGCAUCAUAAGAGGGAGGAGAGUGGUUCUUCACAACUCACCUUAGAAACAAGAGAGAGAGAGCUACUAGUCCUCUUAGCUUUCCAAAUAACUUCACCAAUCACUUCACAAUCACUAAGUGGAGGGGUUUUAUGGAGUAAUUGCAAGAUCAAAUGGUUGGAUGGUUCAACUUGAGCAAGAUUGGAGCAAAACUUGAAGAGCUUUUCUUUCUUUUGGUGCUUGAGAAAGUCGGCCAAGAAGGAGAUAAAGAUGGUGAAUUUUGGUUAUUUUUUUUUUGAUUUAUUUGAUCAAAUGGUAAAAGGUGAAUAAUUGUCCAACAAGUCAAUCCAAUCAAAUGGUGACACUUGUCACCUCAUUAAUGCAUCUCUAUCUCUUUGUUCCCUCUCACUCCAAUCCAUAAGGUAUUCUCUAAUUAUCUCUUAGCACCCGAUAAUUUAAACCCAGUAUCCAAAACUUAAUCUAGUUGGUCGAAUUUUUCCGAAUUUUCCGCACUAGCGGGUCCCACGUCCGAUAUAUACUCUUAAUUUCUCAAAACCUAUUCGAUACUAGAAAAAUCAUCCAAAAACUAUAUCUGCUCAUUAAAAAUAUCUAGAAAAUUUUCCUACUAAAGAAAAUGCAGAAAACAAGCCAUUAAAUAAAUAAAACCCUAGAAAAUGGUAAAAGUACGGGUUCUCACACAGUGUAUAAAAGAUUUACUCUUAUUUUAUAUGAUUGUAAGUGUGGGGAACGAAAAAAUCUUUUCUGAAAAAAUAAGGGACUAAUUGGGUCUUUUUUUUUGUAUUUUCGGGCGAAGGUGCUUGGUACAAAAAUCUUUUUACCAUAGCUGUGAGAAUGAAAUUAAUAGGAGGAUUUACAUUUCAUUGAUCAGAACUUGAUUUUGGGGUGCAGAGAUGCUGAGAACAUCCAUGAUAAUUUAGCAAGAAAGAAGGAAUAAGGACAUAGAAGUUUUCUCCUUUCUAGUGGUCUUUUGAGCAACGCUACUUUUUUUAAAUUCAAAUGAUCGUCAUUUUUAGAGGACAAUUGUAAGUUAUCUUUGAAAUUAUAAUGAAUAAAAUUAUCUUUUUCAAUUGAAAAAAUAUCAAAUUAUACUGUAAACAUUAAAAAUUAUUAUGCAUAUCUUGGUUCAGGUGCUCAUUUCCCUUUAUCAUACAAUGUAAAGGAAUGGUCUGUCCUUUGGAACAUCCAAUAAAAUUGGAACGAUAUAGAGAAGAUUUGCAAAGACUAUGCAAGGGUGACACACAAAAAUGAGAAAAAAAGGAUGGUCUAAUUUUUUAUUGGUGUUGGUUGUAGGGUUAGGUAUUAAAAUACAACUCGAAAAAAGAUUGGUGGAUAAAAUCAAAUGAUGCGUGAAUAGUAGAGCACACUUAGCAAUUUCCGUUCUCCUGGGCAUUGGUCUCCAAAAGAAUUCAAAAAGCUCUUCAACCUCUACCCCCCAAAAAACAAAACUAAAAAUAAUCCCUUAAUGGCAGAAGAAAUACCAACACGAGUUGAUUUACAAGUUACAACUCAUCGGAUCUACAAGUUACAACUCGUGGAAUUAUGUACUUUUGAUUUUAAAACUUUAAUCUUAAUUACAUGACUAUACGGUCCAUCAUCUGCAAUCAAGUCUUGUGGUGCAUGUACCAACAAACUUGCAAUCGCUAUACGGUCCAUCAUCUGCAACUAUAUAUAUAUAUAUAUAUAUAUACCAAUUCACCGUUGAAUUAUUAUAAAUAUCCAAACCAAAAGCAAUUAAAGUCUUAUAAUACUCAAAUAUUGGUAAAAAUGCUCUCUUUAAUAUGUUUAUAAGUGCAUAGAUAAGUGUUAAAUACAAGAAAAAAAUCAUUCACUUGACAGGAGACAACAAAGCAACCAAUUAGUUUGAAAAUUUUGGGAUUAGCUUCCCCUCCCCGUGAACUGAUAGAAGACCAGCUUUCAAAAAAGAUUUACCAACCGUUUGGUUGGUGGGUUUUCAAAAAAGAUUUGCCAUUGAAGAAUUUUUUAUAGCCAUUGCUACUGCUAUUCCGUAGUGUAUGCCAAACAGCUGGUUAGAUAUGGCAACCAACCCGCUCGGGUAGGAGAAAUGAGGCAGGGAUGGGAGUGGGGGAUUUUUUUAACCCUCAAAUGGGGCAAGGGAUGGGGGAACAUACCACGCUCCAUCCCUCGUUUAAAUUUUGACGUAGUAUAACAUCUAUGUAUGUUUAUGUAUAUAUAUAUACACACACACAACUAGAAGGAAUCAGGCUGUGCAAGCAUAGCUUAGCCCUACCUAUAAAAUUCUGGUUAAAAUGCAUCACAUCAUAAUUUGCUUUCAAAUAAAGAGCAAUUACAAUUCCUAAAAAAUAAGGUUUAUUUUUAGCAGAAUGUUUCAAAAGUUUGCUCCAACUUGCUUAUUGUAAUGUAGUAGAGAUAUAUUGUUGUAUUGUAUGGACAAAUAACAAUAAAGAAUUUAAAAACCAAGCACAUGAAAAAUGCAAAACCAGUUCAAUGUUAACAUAAAUGGUAUAUGCUUCAUGAAACUCAAACAUCAUGCUAUUAUAAUUACAAAUGCAUAAAAUUUCACCACUAUUUCUUUUCAAACAAGACACCAUCAAGUAAAAAUUCCCAUCCUACAAUUUCACAAUAAAACUUGGAAGAAAUUGAAAUGGAAGGUUUUUCAAUGCAUAAAAAGGGUACAAAAAUUUAGUACCAAAGAAUUACUAGAUGAAGUGCUAGAUUCAAUUAUGCAUUGAAAAGGAACUAAAACAUCAGAAAUGCAAAACAAAAAUUUUACAUUUAGAUUCAAGACAAAUCUCACAAAAGGAGAAUUGCCUUGCAGAACCAAAAUAAUUGAAGGCUUAAUGAAUAUCAAGGAGAUCAAGCCAAAAUAAAUAAAUACAUCAUGGUAACAGGAUAAAGAAACUAUACUGAGAACUUGAAUAGUUGGGAUAGAUCAAAAGUGGGGAUUGAAGGUUGGAGGCAUAUUGUAAUUGCAUCAUCAAAAUACCACAAUUGGUAUAUUUAAACUUUUUCAUGGAGAGCACCACAAAACAGAGUUAUCUUCAUUUAAUUUUGGUUCGAAAUUUUAGUCCAGCUGAAGACUGUCUUUUCAAAAUUUUCCCUGUUUAGACCAGAGAAUUACCAAAUUAGUCAACUCAAUUUUUUUUAAGUAGGAGAGGGGUGGAAUUUGCGAAGCGGGGAGGGGGAAGACGGGGGAAUUGAAUCCAAGACCUUUAAUUCGUGGGUCUAAUCUUAGCUACUAGACUACCUCAACAGUCAACUCAAUUUAUUAUACAUGCUUGAUCAAUUCAGUUUAGUCUCAUGAAGUUUCUUCAGCUUACAGGUAAUAUUUGUUUUGCUUUAUGACUUGAGUAAUGGAUUUUGUGUUUGGCUGCUCCAUUGAUGCAUGAUGGUCAAUCAUCGUUUGAUCAUCAUCAAUGGUGUUCUAUCUCUGCGUCUUCAUGGUUUACUUCAUCAUUUACUGUAUUGAAUUGCACUGCUAGUUAUUGCCUUGAGCAAUAUACACAAACUGUUCUAUUUGCUCAUCGGAUUUCAGUUUUCGACUUUAGGGCUUUAUCCGCAUUGAUCGUUUUGAUCCUAAAACAUGGAUCAUACCUGGUGAUAACUCUAGAGCCUACACACUGGAGGAAGAGCAGCUUUCACCUAGCAGAACUAUUUAUGACAGGGAGAAGAGGAUGAUUGAAAUGAAGACCGUUGCUGAUGUAAUUGAGGCCCUCAUUGGUGUAUUCCUUUGCUCUACCAGUGAAAUAGCAGCCUUAGCGUUUAUGGAGUGGCUUGGUAUUGAAGUUGACUCUAUUUAUGUGCCUUACAUAAGGCCACUCCCUGCAAAUCCAGGGGAGGUGGUCGAUCUCAGAUUUUUCGAGACUCGUUUGAAUCAAUACUCGUUCCAUGAUGCUUCUCUCCUUGCUGAAGCACUUACUCAUGGUUCUUACACGCGACCUGAGAACCCCAGAUGCUAUAAGGUAAUCUUUGCCCUUCCUUUUUCUCAUGUUGUUAACUUGUUAUAAAAGUAAACCAUUCUACUUGUUUUUUCAAACAAUUUAUGAUCUUGUUGGAAAUGUCUUCAGUAUUUCCUCUGUUUAUUUUCUCAACUUGAUUGUGCAUAGAUACGUUUUUUUGUUAUGCCUAACUUUGAUUUCCUGCAAAAUUGUGAAGCACUAAAACCUCAUAUGCUGAAAUAUCUUUUUGGUUCCUUGUCCGGCCUUAGUAUUUUUCCUCAGUAUUCAUUUUAGUGGUUCAAGAUAUAUUGCACCAAAGAGAAGCUGUUUGAUGUGUACGCUGAUAUUAUUUGCUUGCAGAGAUCAGCUUUUUGAAGUCUAGUGCCAUAUUUCAUACUACAAGCAGUGGUAUUAGUUGUACUUUUUAGGUCGCAAUUGAUUAGUUACUUACAGGUUUGCUAGAUCAUUCGAGUCUAUUUGAAUUACCAUAUGUCUUUUGGAGCCACCAGAUGAAAUCAGAAUUAGCUACCACUUUAAGGGGGAAAGGUCGUGUUAUUACUUGUUUAGUUGAUAAUAGCCCUGGAGAUACAUGUCUUUCCUUGAUUAAGUGCAAAACUAUGUUUGUUGGGAAAAUUUACAUAGGAGGGGUUUGCAUGUUCUGGUUCUUCAAUAGCUAGAUUGCUUACAUGAUCCUUAUAUCAUGCACUAGUUUGAAUUUGUCAAUAGUUCCAUAUUGCAGAAGAUAUCACUGGCAUGCCUUCUCGUAAAGAUAUUAUUGUGGAUCUUUCAUGUUUACCUAUGUUUCCAUUUCAAUGGAAUUUGCAGCGUCUAGAAUUUCUUGGGGAUGCGGUGCUGGAUUAUCUCAUCACCAUGCACCUCCAUAAUGAGCAUCCCAAUUUGUCUUCUCGAUUAUUAACCGAUUUAAGGUCAGCUUCUGUGAACAAUGACUGCUAUGCACGAACUGCAAUUAAAGCUGGACUUCAUCAGCACAUUCUACUACAUGAUUCACAACACCUGAAGCGGCGCAUUCUCACUAUUGUUAAAAAUUUUAAGCAAUCAUCACAAGACUCGACUUCUGGGUGGGAGUCAGAGCCAGUAAUCAAGGUAAUCCUCCAUCUUUGAUGUAAAAUAAAAAACAAUCUUUAUUAUUUUAGCUGUGCUAAAUUUUUUUUUUUAUGUUUCUUUGAGUAUUUAGUUGCUAACAACCUCAUAUUUUUCAGAUUCUUGCAGAUAUUAUAGAAUCUCUUGCCGGGGCUAUAUACGUUGAUUCUGGAUAUGACAAAGAGGUUGUAUUUCAAAGCAUAAAGCCACUUCUUGAGCCUCUGGUUACCCCUGAGACACUAAAGCUCCAACCUGGGAGGGAACUGAAGGAAUUGUGUCAGAAGGAGAACUUUGUCAUGAAGGAGGAGGAUGGCAAGCUUGAGGUUAAUGCAAAUGGUGUCAUUUAUGUUUGUGGACUAACUGCAGCAAACAAGAAGACAGCAGAAAAAAUAGCAUCCAUGGGAAUUCUAGAGAUGCUAAAGAAAAAUUAUUACACCAGGGAGAGCCACAUACAACCUUGCCUGUCUUGUGAUAUCAGACAAGUCAGAUAGCCUUAUGGCUGGAUCAUAUAAGAUCCUGAUGAUGUUUUUAUUCCAAAAAAAAAAAAUAAACUUGCUUAUCAUCAUCAUCAUCAUCGGAAAGGUGAUUCAGAUUGUUGGUGUUUUUGUCGCCUUCACGGUUUCCAUCAUAGUACUCUGUAACGGUACUGGUAAAUUAUAAUUUGGAACAAAAUCUUUGCAAACAAAAUCACGAAAUUUGAAUGUGACUAAUUGCAAAAGAAACUUAUUACAAACCUCUGAAAUUAAUGAUGACAAAGGAUUUCAGUGGAAAACGUGAGAGGCAGAGAGUGCAUAUUUCCCGCAGAAGUUCUGUUUUUCGGUCGUGUGGUUAUGGUUAAAAAGAAAAGCAAAAUUAAAUUAGACCAAAGACGACAACCUUCGCACCGUGGAUGGCGUUAAUAGGAACCAUUUAUUCGGUGAAAUUAUUCAUGACAAUGUCGAAUGACCUUUCAUGUUUUAGCCAAUUAUUUUGGCAAGUGGAGAAUUUACUAAAAAUGGGUUGACUCAGUACAAACUGCAAUCAGAGAAGAACUCGUCCAGGUUUAACCCUAAAGAGCAAAAAAAAAAAACAAAAAAAAAGAGACUUCAGUCGUGGUCUUCCAGAAUAAUAUCACUGCCCAAAAAAGAGUCCAAGAAACCAUAAAAUUGAGUCUCAAUUUACAUCAAAUAUAAAAAUACCAAGCAUGAGCAGAGCAAUCAUUUGCAGUAAGGAAAAUAAAGGUACAAUUGAAAUUCGAGAAAGAUGUGAUGUAAAUACAUACAUUCACACUUAUUGUACCCCUGCAUAUAAUACACUUUCUCAAUUUAAUUUAUUUUUACUAAAAAAUUAGCCAUGAAACCCUCUUGAUUGGCCCGGGGCACCGGUUAGCCAAACUCUUUGAUUCAUAUGCAUAUAUAAAUGGAGUUUGGAUUUUACUUUUAGGGGUAGUUAAGGAAAAGUAUGAUAGUGCAAUAGCUUAAACUAAUUUACAAUUUUGUGAUAGGGAUUAGAGCUGUACAUGAAUCGAAUUGAAUCAAACUUUCCACAGUUCGAGUUCCAUUCAAAGUUUUGAGUUUGAACUCGAAUCUUAUAUGAGCUCAAAAUCUAAACUCGACAUCUAUUCGAUUUAAUAUUCGAUGGGUUCAAGCUCAAUUCGAGGGCUUAAAAUUUUAUUUAAUCUUUCAAUUUUAAUAUUAAAUUGUUACAAUACUGAUAUUUUAAAUAAAAAAAUAUCAAAAAUUAUUGGAAUCGAAUCGAGCCUUAAUGAGCUGAGUAUCUACAAGUUUGAACUCAAUUUGAUACUAUAAAUGAAUUUUAAUUCUUAUUCAAAUUCGACCUCAAGUUCAUUGAAAAUCGAACUGGAAUCAAGGCCAAACUAUUAGUUAUGGGUUCGAUUCAUCUAUAGCCCUAAUGGGGACUUUAGCAUAACAUGACUACUGUACCCUCUUUUUAUGUAAUUGGUGCGUGGUGCAUCAGCAUCUUAAAUAGUGUUUGUGGACGCAAAAUGACUAGCUUAUCUUCUAAUGUAACCAUCAAUUUUUUCAUUAGCAUAAAAGAGGCAGCCCAUCGGUUUAAAAAUCAGCAGAAACCUGUAAUUUCUAAUAAAACUCAUUGAAAUAAUAGGUCUCAUUCAAAUCAAUAAUUGAAUCAUGUUUAAGACAAUUUUAAUGUGUAAUAGGGAGUUUUUGGCUAAAAUAACCUACUUUUUAAAAAAUAAUCCAAAGUAAUGCUCUUUCAGUUUUUAUUCCCUUGUUAAUCUAGUUAUUGCCGCAUAGGCUCCCUAUCAAAGGAAAAGAAUCACUUGUAGAUCUUUCCUUCCAUAUAUUACAUGAUUUUUCUUUGUUUGGUGCCCUAAGGACAUUCUAUAAGCAAAUUGAAAAAGGAAAGUGGGUUUACAAUUAGUGCUUCAAAAGUAUCGACCACCCCCUAAAUGGCAAAUUUGCAGAGGAACUUUUUUUUCCUACCAUUAUUCCUACUUAGCAUUAUUUUUUAUUAUAAUAUUACAAGUUCCUCUCUUUUUUCUUGUAACAUGCAAUGUUAUAUAUGGCGGUCUCCUAACUUUGUACAUUUUAAGAAGUUUAUAAAAAUUCAAAUUGUUUGACACACGAGUAAGCGUUUCAAGAUAUGUGAUAUCACAGUUUUUGUGAACAGCAAAAAUUCCACUGGAGAGGGAAAAGUUAAUUAACAAAAAUUUCUUUUGCAUUUUUGGACUCAUAACAAAAACCUUUUCAAAAAAAAAAAGAGAGAAAAAAGAAUAUAACUAGGUCAUUAUUAGUACCCAAGUUAAUCUCUUUCGAUGUUGUCUCCAAACUGGCCACCAUCUUUGUUAGUGUUCUUUGAAGCUAGCUUCUUUUGAUUUGGUAAGAAAACAUGAAAAAGGCAAUGUGAAAUGAAACUAGAUUUACUUCGAGUACAAAAACAAUUAUAUAUAUAUAUAUAGAUUAGAGUGUAGAUAGGGUUAUCUAAUUAGAGUAAAAAAUUAGGGUAAGUCCAUGGCAGCCCAGACUGCCCCCCUCCUCCGGGUGGGGGGCCGUCGGCCUCUUCCUCCCCCACCUUUAGGAAGAAGGCCUUUUCUGCGUUGUUUGAACCGCAACCGACGUCGGAGGUAGUGCAAGUCCAAGCGAGGAUGACAACACACCAUGGAGAGCCUGCGGUGGUCUUCAGUGCGGCUGAAAUAGCAGCGAUUGCUGUUCCAUUCCACUACACUUUGGUUGGGAAGUUCUCUAAGGGGCGGCCGCUGCUGCCUGACUUGAGGAAAUUCUUGUCGACUCUUGAUUUGAAGGAUACAGCGACUGUGGGAUUGUUAGAUGCUAGGCAUGUGUUGCUGAAAUUUCAGUGUGAAGCAGACUUCCUUCGCGUUUGGGGACGAAAUUUGUGGUACGUGAAUGGAUGCCCCAUGAGGGUUUUUAAGUGGACAUCUAAGUUCCAUGUGGACAGAGAGUCUUCCCUUGUUCCCGUCUGGUUUAGAUUGCCCAAAUUCCCAAUUCACUUAUUUGCUAAGCCAUGUCUAUUUCAUCUUGUCUCCUGCUUGGGUACGCCGCUUUUCGUGGAUGCAGCUACGUCUUCGUUUUCGCGACCGAAUGUGGCACGGGUAUGUGUUGAGGUGGAUCUGCUCAAAUCGAUUCCGUUGAGGGUGUGGGUUGAUAUGGGAGAUGGGGAUGGCUUUUGGCAGGCUCUUAUCCCUGAGAACCUUCCUAGUUAUUGCAGCCACUGCUAUCGUCAAGGGCAUGGCGAGGAUCAGUGCCGUGUGAAGCACCCUGAUCUGCGCUUGCCCAAGACGCAGGGGGGUCUGGUCGCAGGGGUGAUGGGUGCAAAAGUUCGCUCCUCACAGGCUAACACGCAGGGUAUAGAGGGUGAGGAGCGAAGGGUGGUGAGUGAAAGCGCUGCGGUGCAGGCUGGUGUGACGCAGAAUUCGGGCGGGGAUAUUUCUUCCCCGCAGGUUAAUACCCUGGGUAUAGAGGGUGAGGAGCGAAGGGUGGUGAUUGAAGGAGAUGGGGUGCAAUCUGGUGCGACACAGAAUUCGGGUAAGAGCCAAUCCGAGGGGGCACGGCACGUUGACACCCAUACUACUGUUGUGGGAGAUGCGUCGUGCUUACUGAACCAGCUUGGAGGAUCUACGGUUGCGCUCGUGGAGAAGGGGAUAGAGGUUGCUGCUGAUGCCAUUCUUCACGCUAUGUCUGACCGCGUGAUUGGCGAACAAGAGGAAGUGCUGGAAGGGACUGCUAAUACUGGAGAGUUGGUGCUGGGGGAGCUGAACGUGGCAGUUGGCCCGGGCAUGGUGGAGCCCAUACGCACCAAAGAGGGGGCUGUUGUGUCAGGGGAGAGCUGCAAGGACGAAGCUGUCAAGGAUGGACGACAAACAGAAGCUGCCGAAACUGUUGCAAAAGCAAAGUCCGUUGCUGAUGAUGAAAGGGAGGGACAAUUCGAUCAAUUUGCAGUCCAUGACCACGGGAAUGAUUGUGAGGGGUCCCAUAUUUUAGUGGAGCAAAUAUUGGGAGAUGGUCAGCAGCAAAUGGCCGACAAUACUUCAUUGAGAAAUCAAAAUGCCGACAAUUCUAAUUGGAAUAAAAGUGAGGGGUCCCAAGCUUUUGAGGAGCAGAAUUUGGGAGAUGAUAAUCAUCAAAAGGUCAACACCACUGAGCCCGAAAUUCUUUAUGGUGCCUUGCGUGGGGUUGAGGUUGUACCAUCCCUUGUGGUUACGAGUACAAGUACAAGAACAGAAACGAAAACAACAAUGCCUCAAAAUUCAGUGCCACAAUUCAAAGAUGUGUUCGAAGAGAUUAAAUGGGAAAAAUUACAUGGUACAGUUCCCCGACCACAUUAAAUUCCUUUUAUUCGUUCAAGUAUAACAUGCAAUGACAACAAAAAUGAAGAAGAAGACGACGAUUCACAACGCGAAAAACACAAAGAUCAAGACCAGAGCCUAGUUCAAGAGCAAUUUACCCAAGUGAUUUCAAAGAAAGCGAGAAAACAACUUUCAAAAAAAGGUAAAACAAUACAAACACGUCAAGAUCUCAAACCAAAUCCCCAUGCUCACUCGCAGUCACACAAAUGUGGGGCACCUUCGUGUGGAUGAUUUCUUUGGAUUGAUCUGUUAUGUCUUUAAAAUUCCUUCAUAUGCGCGUUUUAUUUUUUAUCAUUAGAUGUUUCUUUUCCUUUAAAAAAAAUGUUAUUUGAUUAGAGUAGGGCUUCUCUAAUUCUUAAGGCAAUUGAAAAAUUGAACUCUAAAGUCGUACCUAGGAUUAUUUCUUGAUUGGAAAAGUGGUUAAUAGUCAUACCUUAACCACCAAUACAGUAAGGAGAAAUUGAUUGUCAUUGUUUGUUUGGCAGUUAUAACUUGUUCAUUAGUGAAUAAAGGAAAUUAUUAUUUAAAAAAAAAAAAGUACCCAAGUUAACACACUAUUAUAUGAGCCAAUCUAUUAUUUACUUUUGAGAUUGUCAUAAAUAGUAAAAUUUAAACUGUUGAAAUGUCAUUAACAAUCGAUGCGGAUUGUGACUCUCAUAAAGAAAGAAUAUAAGAGGACAACGUGGCAACAAGUAAAUUAACAAAGGAAUAAAUUUUGAAAAUGCAAUAAUUUGGCAAUAAUUUCGAAGGAGAAGGUCAUUGUGAAAAUAAACGCGUGUAAUAGGUGAAGAAUCAGAUUUCUUGGCCGUUACAAGUGUAAUUGAAGCCGCCUUCGAGUUCUUUUGCAUUUUUUGGGCAGUUUCUUUUGGAUAUAAUAAUGGAAGUUAUUAAUACUAAAGAUUGUUGGUUCAAAUGAUCGUAGUUUGCAUUUGGAGCAGCUGUUUAGAGAGGUAUGUUUAUUCUCUCUCUCUCUGCGCUAAGGAUUAGAUAUUUUUGAGAAUAUUUUUCAAAAAUUUUAUUGUAAUAUUGUAUUUGAAAAACUUUUUUAAUAGAUGUAUUAGGGUGUUUUCAAGGGUAUUUUUCAGAUGUAUUUUUAGAAUUUAAAACAUUUUAGGUAUUUUUUAAAAGUUUACACCACUGACCGCUACCACCCGCCGCUACCAUCCUCUCCCUCCUCCUUCCUCCUUUCUUUUCUCUCUUCCUCUUUCUCCCCCUUCUUCUUUCUCUCUCUUCUCCCCUUCCCUUCCUUCCUUCUCCCUCCUUUCCUCCCCUCCCUUCCCUUUUCCCACCGGCACCUUUCCCCUCCCCCUCCCUCUCCCCCUCCAUGACUGGUCACAACCAAAGGGCCACUGUUGGAUCCUUAAUCCAACAUUGGACUUAUAUGUGAAUAAUUAUGUGUUGCAAACUGUCAAUUAAGAUUAAACCCAAUUAAAGUGAUCAAAUAUAGUUUGGGUUUAAUGUAUCUAAUAGGGUGUGGGCCUUUAAUGUGUAGAGACUUAAGGGUUCCUAUUUCUAUGAUGGGCUGAAAUAGGGUUCCAAAGGAUAACAAGAAUGUUACCUAUAAAUAGGGUUAUGGUCCCCAGGUCACAGGUAUCGUUUAGUUGUCGUAUUUCGUAAUACCAUAAAAUAACUCUUCCCUAAUAUCCCAUCGUCAAGAAAGAUACCAGAGAGAAACUAAAGGCCUCUCUCAAAGGAUCGGUGAAUACCUGUUGACCUGGAAGGCCAACCCCAAAAUCUCUAGGGAUUCAAGUAUCAAGUUUAUCAAUAUGGAUUCAGGUACGCUUCCGCUAUUUUAUCGUUUAUUUAUUUCUUAAUAAUCACCAUAUAGAUCUUGGGUUUAACAGGUGAUGGUUUUCACCAAAGGUUAAAUUUAGAUAACCACCCUAACAAGUGGUAUCAGAGCCCAUAUGGUUGAUUAUUAUGAAAUAAUUUGAAUUUAGUAAUUUAUAGUAAUUUUGCAUGGCUGAAAUUUGCAAGUUUUGGUAAUUUGCUGUGUAAAUUCAGUCAUAGUAAAAUUUACACGGCUGAUUUAGUAAUUAUUUAGUAAUUUGCAAACCUUGGUUGCUGAUGGCUUUAUAAUUGCAUGCCUUUUGUUUUUAGCCUCUGACUCAUAACAAAAAAAAAAAAAAAGGCAAUUCAUGGGUUCCACCAACAAGUCUUCAUAAGGUUUCCAUGGUUUUGGUCUUGAUUCACGGCAACUUUUCAAUUCGGUCAACUUUUCAAUUCGUGGGUUCCACCAACAAGUCUUCAUAUGUUAGUCAAAUACUAUUCUGGUCAUGAUUGUUUGCAUAUGUUCAUGGCAGUGGUUAAUUCGUGGAUUGUACUGUCCAUUGUUUUGGCCAAUCUAUUGGUUCUUUAUGCGAUAUUUGUUAGCCGAUUGUUUACUUCGGCUUUGUUUGAAAUUAUGACUAAUUGGCACGUGUUUCAAGAAUCAAGUUUACUUGGCCCGAUUAAUUGUUUAUUUUGUUUAUAUCACUUGAAUCCAUUUAUGGGUAUGCUUUUGAUUAUAAAAUUAGGACAAUUAACUUGAAUUUUUGACUUGAUUCCUUGUUUAAGAAUAGAUUUCUAUAUAUAUUUAUGUUAAGAAAAUUAGGGUUUCUUUAAUUUAAGUGAACCCUAAUAAAGCUAAUAAGAUAUUUAAACCCUACAAAGUCCAUAUGUUUGGCCCACUAUACAUAUAGUUUUAUAAAGUAUUUAUGGACUUCAAAAAAAAAAAAUUGGGCUUGAAUAAUAAACUGGGUCAAAUUAUGGAUAUGGACCUUUGGUUCAAUAAGUUUUGAUCCAAUUGAUUGGUUUGAUCAGAGUUAACUAAAGUUGACUUUGAUCAAAAUUUGUUAAAUUUGUAUAAUUUUAAAUUUGAAUAUUGGUAUGAUUAUAUAUAUUUUGAAAUAAAUUAAUUGAAAUAAUAUGCCACCAAAGUAACCUCUAUUAUGAAAAUUAAUUUAUUUUAGAAUAUAACUAGUUGAGUACUUGUAAUUUUAUGAAUAUUGAUCGGCCCAAAGAAAGGUCCAUAUGUAAUAAAAUUACAUGUGCACUUGUGAUAAUAAAUACGUGAUAAUUAUUUGAAUUUUACAUGUGAUUUAUAAAUUGGCCCAAGGAAAAAUUUAUUUUUCGACAUGUUAUUAUUAUCAGUAUUUAUUACUGCACCAAGAUAUCAUUUAGAAAUUAAUAUUUUUGUCCAAAGACAAAAUAUUAAUGGAAUAUCGAUAUCUUGAGAUGUGGUUACCUUUAUUUAAAUUUAUUAUUUUUUUGGUUUAUGUGAGAUUGUUUUAAUUAUUUUAUGUUUUCUGUUCAAUUGCGAAUGAUCUUACGAAUAUUACUUCCAACAUCAAUAAUAUUCCUAUACUGAAUGACACAAACUUCAAGUCCUGGAAAGAAAAUCUCUUGAUAGUACUUGAAGUAAUGGAUCUCGACCUUGCGUUAAGGAUUGAUUCUCCCCCACCUCUUACAGACUAGAGUACCUCUGAUGAAAAGAAAAAUAAUGAGAGGUGGGAGAGAUCAAAUUGUUUGUGUCUGAUGAUCAUUAAAAAGGUCGUUCCAGAAGCAUUCAGGGGAACAAUGUCAGAAACGACUGUAAUCGCUAAAGAGUUCCUUCAGGACAUUGAAAAAAGGUUUGUCAAGAACGAAAAGACUGAAAUUAGUACGCUCUUGACACGCCUAGUUUCAAUGAAAUAUAGUGAUAAAGGCAAUAUUAGAGAGUAAAUCAUGGAAAUGUCUCAUCUUGUUUCGAAAUUAAAUGCACUUAAGUUGAAACUCUUUGAAGAGUUACUAGUGCAUUUGAUUUUAAUAUCUCUUCCUACACAGUUUAGCCAGUUUAAGGUGAGUUAUAACUGUCAAAAGGAGAUUUGGUCUCUAAAUGAACUCAUUUUACACUGCGUAGAGGAAGAGCAAAGGUUGAAACAAGAGCAGACAAAAAGUACCCAUCUGGUGUCAACCACUAAUAAUAAAAGUAAGGGACUUAAGAGAAAGAAAGAAAAAGAAACUACAGGUACAGCGCCACAAAAGAAAUCAAAUGAUCAGGGAAAAAAUAGUUGUUUCUUCUAUGGAGUUGAAGGGCAUCAAAAGAAGCAUUGUACCAACUAUCACGCUUGGCGUGCUAAGAAAGGUAUGCAUCUUAAUUUGGUUUGUUCUGAGGUUAAUUUAACUUCGGUGUCUAGACACACAUGGUGGUUAGAUUCUGGUGCAACAGCUCACAUUAGUGUGUCUAUGCAGGGUUGCCUGAAUUGCCGAAAGUCUAAUGAUAAUGAAAGAUAUAUCUACGUGGGCGAUGGCAAAACAGUUCAAGUUGAGACAAUUAGAGUUUUUAGAUUAUUGUUAAAAAUCGGAUUUUAUUUGGAUCUCUAUGAGACAUUUGUUGUACCGUCUUUUAGACGGAAUUUAAUUUCUAUUUCUGCUUUGGACAAAUUUGGUUAUUUUUUGUUCAUUUGGAAAUGAAAAUUUUGAAUUGUUUCAUGAUUCAAAAUUGGUUGGUUCUGGUUCUUUAAUGCAUUACGAUAAUCUAUAUUUAAUUGAUACGAUUGUCUCAUUUAAUGAAUCUCUGCAUUUGAGUACUAGAGUAAUAAAGAAAAAAUUAAUCAAUGAGAAUUCAACUGUAUUAUGGCACAAGAGAUUGGGACAUAUCUCCAAACGGAGAAUAAAAAGACUUAUGUCAAAUGAAAUUCUCGACCCCUUAAACUUUAUAGAUUUUGAUGAUUGCAUUAACUGCAUAAAGGGGAAACAAACCAAUCAAGAGAGAUUUGAAGCCAGUAGGUCCUCAGACGUCUUAGAACUUAUACAUACAGAUAUUUGUGGACUAUUUCCUACAUCUGCUUGAAAUGGUCAACAAUAUUUUAUAACGUUCAUAGACGAUUUUUCAAGAUAUGGCUACAUAUAUCUCAUUUCUGAAAAGUCACAGUCACUGGACGUGUUCAAAACUUUUAAGGCUGAAGUUGAGAAUCAACUCAACAAAAGAAUUAAAAGCGUCAGAUCUGACCGUGGUGGUGAGUACUAUGGUAGAUAUGACGGUUCAGGUGAACAACGUCCAGGACCAUUUGCUAAAUACCUAGAGGAGUGCGGUAUCGUCCCAUAGUACACUAUGCCGGGUUCACCCACUAUGAAUGGUAUAGCUGAAAAACGAAAUAGAACGCUUAAAAACAUGGUAAGGAGUAUGAUAUGUCAUUCUACCUUACCAGAGUCACUCUGGGGUGAAGCACUUAAGACUGCAGCAUAUAUCCUUAAUAGAGUUCCAACUAAAACAACUAUCAAAAUCCCUUAUGAGUUUUGGACAGGGAAAAAGCCCAGUUUAAAGCAUAUGCAUGUUUGGGGGUGUCCAACUGAGGCAAGGUCUUACAGGUCAAAUGAAAAGAAAUUGGAUUCAAAAAUAAUUAGUUGUUAUUUUAUUGGAUACUCUGAAAGAUCCAGAGGUUACAAGUUUUAUGAUCCCACAACUAAAUCAAUUUUUGAAACAAAAAAUGCCCGAUUCUUUGAGGAUGUCGAGUUUGGGGGAGAAAAUACAGUAAGAGACAUUAUCUUUAAAGAAAAAUAUAUUAAUAUUUCCACAAGUGUCAUUGAUCUUGUUCUGGAUCCUAUUCCUGAACAAGAUCAUGACAUAACAAAUCAAGAUAAUAUCAAAGAACAAACUGUUAUAGAAGUUCAAACUCUCAUUCUCCAAGAACCAGUGCCAUUAAGAAGAUCCACUGGAGAAAGGAGAAGUACAGUGUCAGAUGAUUACAUUAUUUUUCUCCAAGAACGUGAGGAUGACAUUGGAUUGAUGAAAGAUGAUCCAAUCAACUUCCGUCAAGCCAUGGAAAGUUCAAAUUCUCAAAAGUGGAUCGAUGCCAUGAAUGAGGAGAUUAAAUCCAUGAAGGACAAUGAUGUUUGGGAUCUUGUCCCAUUGCCAGAAGGUGCGAAAUUCAUUGGUUGUAAAUGGAUAUUUAAAAUCAAGAGGGAUUCGAAAGGUAAUGUGGAAAGAUACAAAAUUCGUCUUGUCGCUAAGGAAUUUACACAAAAGGAAGGUAUCGACUAUAAAGAAACCUUCUCUCCGGUCUCUUCAAAGGAUUCUUUUAGAAUUAUCAUGGUACUAGUGACGCAUUUCGAUCUUGAGUUACAUCAGAUGGAUAUAAAGACAGUGUUUCUCAAUGGUAAUAUUGAUGAGACGAUUUAUUUGGUGCAACCAGAAAACUUUGUAUCAGGAGAUCCAAAGAAUAUGGUUUGUAAAUUUAAAAAAUCCAAUCUAUGGGUUCAAACAAGCGUCUCGACAAUGGUAUUUCAAAUUUCAUCAAGUGAUCAUUUCAUUUGGUUUUGAGAUGAAUUUAGUAGAUGAUUGCAUAUACCAUAAGUUCUGUAGGAGCAAGUAUAUUUUUCUGAUAUUGUAUUUUGAUGACAUUUUGCUUGUCAGCAACGAUAUGGGUCUAUUGCAUGAAACCAAGAAAUUUCUGACUAAAAAUUUUGAGAUGAAAGAUCUUGGUGAUGCAUCUUUUGUACUAGGUAUACAAAUACACCGAGAUCGAUUUCAGGGUAUUUUAGAACUAUUACAAAAGAGCUAUAUCGAAAAGAUUCUUAAAAGGUAUGGCAUGCAAAAUUAUAUAUCAGGUGACAUCCCUAUGGCUAAAGGAAACAAAUUUAGUCUUGAGUAGUGUCCCAAGAAUGCUUUUAAGGAAAAAGAGAUGCAAAAGAUUUCUUAUGCGUCAGCAGUAGGGAGUCUAAUGUAUGCUCAAAUAUGUACGCAUCCGAAUAUUACGUACAUUACUGAAAUGUUGGGUAGAUAUUUGAGUAAUCUCGGAUUUGAUCAUUAGAAAGCAACCAAACGGGUCUUACGAUAUCUACAGAAAACAAAGGAUUACAUACUCACGUAUCGGAAGUCAGAUGAGUUAGAGAUCAUUGGGUAUACUGAUUCCGAUUAUGCUGGAUGCAAAGAUACUAUGAAGUCAACGUCAGGCUAUGUUUACUUGUUGGCUGGAGGUGUCAUAUCCUGGAAGAGUGCUAAACAGUCCCUCAUAUCAUCUUCCACUAUGGCUGCAGAGUUUAUAGCUUGUUAUGAGGCAUCCAACCAAGAAAUUUGGUUGUAAAAUUCUGUCACAGGAUUACGUGUAGUGGAUAGCAUUGAAAGACCACUCAAAUUAUUUUGUAACAACAAGUCAGCAGUACUAUAUUCUAAUAACAACAGGAACUCUACAAAAUCUAAACAUAUACAUAUCAAGCUCCUGUCUGUUAAAGAAAGAGUACAGAGUGGACAGUUAUCGAUAGAGCAUAUCGGGACAAACUCCACGGUUGCGGAUCCGCUUACUAAGGGAUUGCCACCUAAAAUGUUUCAUGAGCAUACUGUUCGUAUGGGUGUCAUAUUGAUAAAUGAUGUACAGUUUUAGUAGAAAUUUGAUAUUUUAAAUGCUCUUAUGAUACGUUUCGAUUAUUAAUGAUCUAAAGAUAUUUUAUGCAUAAAUAAAGUUUGGAUUUAUUUGUACUCUGACUUUGGUAUGGUUUGAUCUCAUGGAAAUUUAAGAUGGAUCAGUUGAAAAUAGGCAUGUUUUGAUCACAUUACAUGAAAUUUUCAUGCUACACAUCCAUAUCAUAAUUCAUGUCAUUCAAUUAUAUCAAUGUAUGUGACCAUUGAUGGGUCAGGUUACGAAAUUGUAACAAAGGCCGCUUUGAUCCUAUGUUGGUAUGAUUGAUGGAUCAAAUUGGUUACAGAUACAUUGUGAUAAUGACAGUAAAGUUGAGCUCAUACGGUUAAUUGCGAAACAUAAUUAUAAGGUUACACAUAUAGUCCAAGUGGGAGAUUGUUGGAUCCUUAAUCCAACAUUGGACUUAUAUGUGAAUAAUUAUGUGUUGCAAACUGUCAAUUAAGAUUAAGCUCAAUUAAAGUGAUCAAAUAUAGUUUGGAUUUAAUGUAUCUAAUAGGGUGUGGGCCUUUAAUGUGUAGAGACCUAAGAAUUCCUAUUUCUAUGAUGGGUUGAAAUAGAGUUCCAAAAGGUAACAGGAAUGUUACCUAUAAAUUGGGUUAUGGUCCUCAGGUCACAGGUAUCGUUUAGUUAUCAUAUUUCCUAAUACCAAAAAAUAACUCUUUCCUGAUAUCCCAUCGUCAGGAAAGAUACCAGAGAGAAACUAAAGGUCUCUCUCAAAAGAUCGGUGAAUACCUGUUGACCUGGAAGGCCAACCCCAAAAUCUCUAGGGAUUCAAGUAUCAAGUUUAUCAAUAUGGAUUCAGGUAUGCUUACGCUAUUUUAUCGUUUAUUUAUUUUUUAAUAAUCACCAUAUAAAUCUUGGGUUUAACAGGUGAUGAUUUUCACCAAAAGUUAAAUUUAGAUAACCACCCUAACAGCCACAACCAGAGAUUCAGAUCUAGUAGUAACUGGUUGCAAUCAGAAGCUAGUCGCGGCUGUCUGCUCGAUGGCCAUGCACCAGCAACCAGAUCUGAAGUGGAGGGGAAGAAAGAGGGGGAAGGAGUUUCUGGCAAAGGGAAAGGGAAGGGAAAGGAGAGGAGGAGGGAGGAGAAGGAAUGAGGGAAAUGGAGGAAGAGGAAAAAGAAAGGAGGGGGAGAAAGAGAAGGUGGGAGAAGAGAGGAGGGAGGGGAUGGCGGCAGUGGUGGUGGUAGGUGGCGAUGGCGGUGGUGGGUGAUGAAAGAAAAAGAAAUGAUAGAAUUAUUAUUAUUAUUGUUGUUAUUAUUAUUAUUAUUAUUGUAUCUGUGAGUUGUUUUUUAUGGGUUGAUGUUUUUGAAGUUGUUUUUGUUAAUUUAUUUCUGUAAUAUUGUAUUUGAAAAACUAAUUUUUAAAAAAUAGCAAUAUCCAAACAGAGCCAAAUCUUGUUCAGAUUCAUUUGUAGAUUUACAAAAUAUUGCAUUUUGAGUUUGCAAUUAUAGUGUUGUCUUAUUAGUUCUUAGUGCAAAAUUAAUGAUUCCCAUGUACAUAUAAGAAUGCUAUUAGAUGUUUAACCAAAAUUUUAAAAUUUUGGUGCUUUGCUGGCAGAGGUUAUCGAUGCACUGCAAAUUUGGUGAUCAACGUAUGUUCUAAAUCCAUAUCGAUAGCUCACAAAUGUGUUAGAUUUAAUUAUCGGAAAUAUUCUAUCUUGUGUGUAAUCUCUCGUUUUGUCUGCUUUGCAUUUGUAAAUUAAAUUGUUAUAUUUAUGAUAGCACAUGAAACAUUUAAGUUGUCUGUCUUCAAUUUAGGAUGGAUGGAUCUAAAAUUGUUGAUGAAUAGUGCUAUGGUACAGAUGUCGGUAGGUGACUUAAUAUAAAAUAAUGGCAGUUGACUUGACCAUUCGGUUUUCGUUCCUUUUGUGACAGUUUAGAGUCUUUUGCAUCCCUUUUUUGUGAAUUAAAUAAUUCAUCCAAAAGUACAUGUAACUUUUCCAACUCAAUGCAUACGAUUGUCUUGUAAAAUGGUAAGUUCUAAUUACUUAACAAAAUUUACCUUUUUAAUAUUUAAUCUUACUAUUUUUGUAAUGAAAUUUACUAUAUUUCUUUUUUGUCAAACUUACUCACUUUAGUGACAGGUAAGUUUCUAAGGUAAAUUAGUGAGUUUGUCCAAUAAAGUAGCAAAUUUUAAAAGUUACCUUUUUAUUUACUAUCAUUUUGAUUAGACUAACUAAUUUAGCUGUAUGUAAGUUUUUCAAGUAAAAUAGUAAGUUUGUGCAAUAAAAAAGUAAAUUUUGAAAAUUAUCUUUUUAUUAGUCAAAUUUACCAUUUAUCUGACAAAGCUUACUGUUGAUCUCAUUAAACUUACUAGUCUAGCUGUAUGGAAGUUUUUCAAGUAAAAUGGUAAGUUUGGAAAAUAAAGUAAUAAGUUUUAGUCAUCCAUAUAAGUUACCAUUUCAAUACACAAAGUUUCUAGUUAUCUUCCACAAUUUAGUAUAAUUGUAAAGAAUUUACUAACCAAGUUUUAAGUAAGUUUCACUAAUAUAUUGGUAAGUUUGUGCAAUGUAGUAGUAAAUUUUAGUCCCUUACAAAAAAUACCUUUUUAAUAAUAAGACUUACCCUUUGUUUUUCAAAACUUACUAUUAUUGUAAUUAAUUCUAAUCCAACUUCUUGUAGGUUUCACCUAUAAAAUAGUAAGUUUGUGCUAUUAAGUAGUAAAUUUGGCAAAACUAAUGUUUACCAAAUCAGUAUUCAAACUUAUUAUUUUCAUAGCACAAUUUACCCUAUAAUCAAAAUACCUGCCCACUUUUUCAUCUAAUGUUACUGUUUCUCAAGUAAAUCACUGAACUAUACCAAGAAAAUCACCUUGCUCUAAUUAGCCUGGCAACGUAUAGCUGCUAAGUUUCCUUCAAUCCUCCCUCCCUUUUCCUUUCGCUAGUUCUUACACUAUCCUUCCGACUAACUACUCCCUCUAAAUUUAGAAAGGGCGAAGCCAGCAUGCAAAUUAUUGACCACAGAGAACUAUAAUGGCAAAUGAAUUCAACUAGCAAUGCAUGUUUGGUGGAAAGAACAUAGCUUUUUGAAUUAGCAAUGCAUGAUUAGCGGAAAGGAAACAACUGUUUUCAUCAACGCUGCAGAUAAAGCAAAAAAUUGACAAACUCUAUUGAGCAAAAAGUUUUUCAGCUUCAGAACGCGGAGAUAAUCAUACUGCAGCUUGCUUAUUCUCAAAAGGUUAUACUUUUUUAAUACAAAAAUUCUAAAUAAUUGACAUUGUCUAUUCCUCAGCCACUUCUGAUUAGGAGAUUAAAGCAACAUCAAUUGAACCUGAGAGAUCCUUCAAAGCUAAGAAAGAUUUAGGGAUUGAUAUCAAUAACAAACCGCUAAGGAUUUUGGGUUUUGGUUUAUGAAGUAUUGAUGAAAAAUUGGUAGUACAGUCACAUAUAUUUUGCCUUGAGAUCAAAAUGGAUUAAAAGGGGUGGGGAAACAAUAGGACUCAACAAUAAUCUUUUUUUUUUAAUAAUUAGAGAUGGUUUAAGAGGACAUGGGACACUUUUGUUUUGGUAAAAUUAGUGAAAGAACUUGUAAAUUUCAUUUUACCAUUUUUGCAAUGAAGAAGUAAUUCUUAUCUGAUAUUAAAGCUUACUAUUUUUAUGGCUGAAUUUACCAAAUUUAUGGUCAAAUUUACUACUUUACCUUCUUACCGUACUUUUCAAGUUUCUGGGACUCAAGAAACUUGAAUGACUGGUAACAAAAUAAUCGUUAAAAGUACUGGUCUAGACUGUGGGAACUGCUUAUAACUAGUUUUAUCACUAAAAUAUUCAAAAGUGAGGUGACGAUGAGUCACCAUAGCAUUAUCCUAAUGUGAAACUAGUAGGUAACAAUUCCAGCAAAAGCUAAAAGGAUAGACAAGCUCUACUCCACUAGUGAACUUCUUUGGGGAAACUAAUGCUCUUGUUUUCUUAGGCCACCACCAAAUGUAGUAAACAUGAGGGUGGACUUUGAAGUGAUAAUAGAUUCUUCUCCGUGCAAUGCAUUAUCGGGAGUUUUACUAUCGCUUCACUUGAGGCUAUUCUCUCUUUUGUCCAUCAAAUAAUAAAGUUCCCUAACUACUAAAACUUGCAUAGAAUAAGUGAAAGAGGUUCAAGUUGCUGCUUGGAAAUGCUACAUUGCAUCUCUUAAAGGCAAAAGAAAGAAAAUUUUAUUUACUUGUACAAAUUGGCAUGUACCUUAAGAGAGAGAGUGCAUGGUCAUGAAGUAAACAUAGAAAAAAAGGGAAUGACUCUGAUGAAGAGCUCGAGCAAGUAUUUGUGGAUAUCCUAGAAGAACAUGAAUGAAGUGAGUAUGGUGAUGAUGACUUCACUAAAGGAGAAAAGAAAACAAAGAAGUUACUGAGAAGGAACUUUUCCAAGUUAUCAACAACCAUUUCGUCCAUCUAGUAGAGUAUCUCAAAAGACUUGGCAAAGCAGUUCUUUUUGAGAAGUAGGACAUAAGUAUGAGAGGUUGUGUAGAGAAAUCCUGGAUUUCUAACUCGUUCCAUUUGAAGUUUUAUUUUCAACAAGAGCUUCUAACACGUUCCUUCUAGGAAAUCCAAAAGUUCAUGAUGUAAUCAACUCAGGGGUGGACAAGCUUCAUCAUCUUAUAUCUUCUAGUUGAUUAAUGAAUUCCUAUUAUAUUCAAAAAACUUCUAAGAAAACUCUUAAAACUUUAGCUAUCUUAUUGAAAGACACUAUACUUAAAUGAGAUCUCAUAAAAAUAAACGGACAACCCUCCUAAGGAUGCAAGCCAAGUAGUUAGUCCUCCCGAAGGCGUAGGCUGCUAAUAAAAAAAAUAUAGUCCUUUAAAUGAUGCAUAAUACACAAAAAUUCAUUUGGAAAAAUACUUCUCUAAGUCUAAACUUAGAAAAAAUUAGCAAAGGGGCAAAAAGUUAAUUCCAAAUUUUCUACUACAUUAUAUCAUAGAACUCGUAUUUGGCUUUUUGUGGCAGUUUACAAAAAAAUUCUUAACUGAAUAGAUGGAACUUGAUUUCCAUGUGAAGCCAUAAUAUAUUCAAGAUUUCAAGUUACCUUUAUUUCCAUAGUAUAUCUUUUAUUCAAGUAAGCAAAAUCCUUAAUGCAUUACUUUUAAGUAAAUAAAAUUGCAUAGGAGCAAAUCUUGUGCUUAAUGUAAUAUGUUCUUAGUUUUAUCAUUUUCCCUUCAAAGAAAACGACGUAGUAUGGUAGGGGUUUAGCCACCCUACCAUUUGAAUCACUUUUAUAAGUUUUCAUGCCUUGUUUCGUUGUUGUUUUGCGAGAAAGAAGAUAAUUACUUCUGCAUGUUAGGAUUAAACGUUUAUCAUAAGUUAUUGUUGAUUGGUAUGUUGUGUAUCUGUUGUUAUAGCAAGCCUUUCUCCUAAUUCGGGUGAAUGCUACCACCAUGAUGAUCAAAUAAUUGCUAAGUUUGAAGAUCAAAGGCAGCAACAAAGCUAUCAAAGAAAUUCCAAUCUCAAUUUGAAGAUUAAAGGCAACAUCAAAAAUAUCAAUGAAAUUCCAAUCUCUCACAAGCUAAUACAAAGCUUUACCAUCCAAAAACCUUUAAAUUCAUCAUCAGAAGCUGCCACACCCUCAAAUGGUGAAUCCCAAAACCCUCAUCCAAGAAUUUGUUUUAAAGCUAUAAAAAUCAUUUCGAUAUAAGGAAUUUCACCUAAAACUACUAAAAUAUUGUCACCAGUAACUUUCAUUGUACAUAAAACCAUAGUCAUAAAUAGUCCCUCCAAGAUACCAUUUUUGAAACCACUUUUGAGUUAAAGGAUUUCGUACCGUCAGAGUUAAAGGAUUUCGUAAUGGUAAAAGUGCAAUUCUGGAAAGCAAAUCUCGACAUAUUAGGCCAUAGCAUGACCCAUGAAUUUGACACCCAUAAUGUCAAGAACUUCAUAAAUGUCAUGUUUAUUUUAUAAUAGACCUUGUUUGUAUGUGUCUAUAAUUAGAAACUCAAACGAAAGUACAACCUUUAGCCAUGUAUUAGUCCUUUGUUAUGUCAUUACCAUCUUUAUGAAAGAUGAAUUGUUUGUUUGAGCUUACCAUGAUUUAGAUGUACCUUGAAAUCGUGUAACAGCUUUCAAGAUAACUUUAUUAGCCACAUCAGUCAACAGCAAUUUUCCAAAAGUUACACCACCCUACACACAAAGGGAUUAUAAAAAUUCAUAAUGGUAAAAUAUCAGUUUAAGACGCAUAUAUUUCUACCUUAAUAUGAUUCUAAGUAUCUAUUAAUUUUUCUUUUACGUUACUCUUGAGCUAUUGGAUGACAAGAAGCUGGUAAUUCAAGGGAAAAUUUCUGAAAUUUAAGAGGCUUGAAUCACUGGUUGAGCCUUGACUAAAUCUUUCCCAAAUUGGUUUUUCAAAAUCUUUCCCAGAUUUAAGAGGCUUAAAUCUUUCCGAAAUUGGUUUUUCAAAAAUAAUUGAAUUGUUUUCAACUAGCUUUUUGGAAUUGAGGGCAUAUGUCUAAAAUGUUUGACAUCCAUGCAGACUAACAAUACCAUUUUGUUGUGAAAACUAGCCAAACACAUAAACACAUGAAGCUGCAAUUAGUAAUUUUGCCACCUAAAUGAUCAGAUAUUGCUCAUUUUCCUGACUAAAUUCAGCAGUUAACAACUGGGAAGGGGAAGCGUAACUCAACAUUUAGCAUAAGGUCAUAUCGUCUUCGUAUCUGUUUCUGAGAUCAUUUUAAAGCAUCGACUGUUCAUAGAAAUUAUUAAAGAAAUCGUAUGUGAAUGAAGCAUAAUUGGAGAUGUCAAGUGAAUUACUGGCGGAGUCAUGAUGUUAUACGAAAGAAAAUUAAUAUUUACUUAAACGCAUAUUAGUGUAGAAAUAUAUGUGCAUUAAAUUAAUAAUCUACCAUUUUGAAUUUUUAUAAUCCUCUUUACUCCUUCCAUCCCAUUGUUAUUGUUAUAUUUUCACUUUAUUGAUGUCUCAAAAUAAGAGUCACCAUUUCAAAUUUAAUACAUGCUUUCCAAUCUUGUCAUUUGAAAAAGCAACUUUUAAAAUUCUAAUACACAUCUAUUAAGAAAAUAUUUUGAAUUCAAAGGAUGCUUUUGUCAAUUUAUUAAUGUCAUCUCAUCUAGACAUAUGAUUAUCAUGUCUCUAUAAAAAAUUGGAUUCGCAUAAAAUGACUCUAAUAUUGGGACAGAGGGAGUACGUGUAGUGUGGGGAGUAAUGCUCAUAAUAGUCUUCACAUUUUUUUAGGAAAAUGGCCAUUUUGAUCCUUCAUCUUUUGGAUUUUGGCCAAUUUAGUCCCUUGUCUAUCUUCAUGACCAUUUUAGUCUCUUAUCUUUGCGAAAGAAUGCCAAUUUAAGACCUCUAAUGAAAAAUUAGAAAUUUUUGACAGAACUAGUCACAUAUAAGGCAUGUGCACUAUUAGAAAUGAUGGUUUUGGUCCAUUAUCUUCAAAGUCAUGUCCAAUUUUGUCCCUUAUAUGUCUAUUAUGAUUUUCUAGUUUCUCAUUAAAAGUCCUACAGUGAUUUCAUUUUGUGAAAAUGCGAGUUUAAAUUACUGAAAAGAUAAAAUUAGACAUGAACUUGAUGGUAAUAGACCAAAAUAGUCAUUUUUAGCACUUCACAUGGCUUGCAGUUAACUAAUUCCAUUAGAGAUUUUCAUUUUUUCUAUUUGAUAUCCUAGAUUAUUUAAUUUUUUUUUGUAAAGAUAAAAAAGUAAAAUGGCUACAGUGAUAAAUAAGGGACUAAAUUGAUCAAAACUCCGAAGAUAAUGGACUAAAAUGGCCAUUUUCCUUUUUCUAAAAUGGAGCAUCAAAAUAUGAAGUUGACUAACCAAGCUUUAAAGACAAAACUGUUCACGAAUUUUUUUCUUUCCCUAACUUACCAAAACAAGAGUUUCAAAGUUCAACUAGUUGUUAUGUUAAUAGUACAAAUAAUUAAUUUAUGCAGAAGAUACUUUGGAAUGUGGUCAUGCCAACUAUCUCAUUACUAACUAGUUGUCACCUAGUGCAUUGCACGGGCAUUUGUUUUGCUUUUACGUUUUCUUUAGUUUAAGUGAAACUAUGUUUGUUUUUCCUCUAUUAAUUUGGAGAAUGAUCAGAAAAAAUGUAGCAAAGACUAUUAUAAAUAAAAUGAAGAAAUUUCAUCAAUACCUUUUACUACUUUCAUCAUAUUCAUCUUCCUUAAUAUACAAGGUGAAAUUCUUAAGAUAAAAAAUUUGAUACCUAUUACGAAAAAAAUACGAAGACAAAAAAAGAACCAUUACUAAACCCAAAGAAUUUCGAGCAAAAAAUAUGAAGAAAAUAAAAGUUGAAACCUUCCUAACGUACCUGCAAGUGUAAAAGAUAAGAGAUAAGAGAUUUACAUAGUUGUUUAACAUGAAAAAGCGUCCACGGAGGGCUGAGAGAGAAAUUUGUUGAGAAAAUUUAUCUAGUGUUGAAAAAGAUAAAAAAAAGGCCGGAGAGAGAAUAAUGAUGAGGUCUUCUAAGAGUGCCUAUAAAAAACUCGCUUUGUCAAAAUUGUUGAUAUGUAUCAAAUGAACUCAGGAGUUCCCCCAAACACUUCACUAGACUGAAUUCUUUGGCCUAACAGAGGCAGAAAAUUAUUGUUCCCGUUGAAAUGUUUCGAGGGAACUCUAGAGAACAUCUAAUGCUCUAUUAACAAAUCUAUGCUUUUGCCCCUUGUUAGGUCACUCUCUUUAUAGGGCUCUCCUGUCUCCACACAUGCAGUUUCUGCAUGUAAUUACUUUUCACAAGCCACAUGCUAUUUUUUGGAGAAUGGACGAACCUAGUCAUGAUAUAGGAUUAGAUGAAAGACAGAUAGCCAACAAAACUUGAGAGGUCAUGUUUCUUCAACCUUUUCAAUCAGUAGGCAUCCCCUUUGAUCUCUCUUUUUCAACUUUUUGUUCACGAAUAUAACAAUAUUAUUUGUCCAUAGAAAAAAAAGAAUGGCGAAUCUAUCAAUCUCACGCGUGUUAAUUUGGCAGAAGCAUACAAUUGCUAAACCUAGUCCACUAGAAACAUAAAUCUGGUAAUUGUCCAUCUUAAACAUACUAAAAACAGCAGGAUUGUUUGUCCAAGCAGUUCGCAUCACUUUCUAGUUGCAUUAAAAACCAUAAUUUUGCUAAUAAACCUAGGAGUUAAGGAUAUGAGAGUUGGAAUACAAGUGGUUGAGCUCUAGAGGGUACAAGAUGACAAGAAUAUAUUUUAUGUGUUUUAAGUAUGUUUUAUUAGUUAGUUUUGGUGUGUUUUAAUUAGUUUUAUAGCUAAUAAACUAAGAUUCUAGUGAAAAUAUGUAUUUUAUGGUUUAAAGUGUGAAAAUUGCAUUUCUAUAAACUUUUACGGCAAAUAUUUCAUGUUUUUGCAGGAUUAAUGAUUUAAUCAUCAAAGAGUAUGAAUUGAGAAGAAAAUUUGAUGAUUGGUGAUGAUUUGAGGUGUUUAAAGAAGAAAUGAAAUGCAAAAUAAUCAAAUGAAGAAUUGCAAGAGAAGACUAUUUUGACACGUUUCUGUAUUUCGGCUAAAUCUUGAGCUAUACACACUGGAUUAAGAUGAUUCUUGAACCAUUUUGAAGCUAAGAAAUAGAUCUACAUUUGGUAUGAAGACAUUAAAGUCCAAUUCAGCCGUUUUCCUGGUCAAAAAGUCAAAACACAGAAGCUUAUCUGUAUGGUCGAGAGCUGAAACACAGAAUUGACCAGUCUAUGGUAUUUCGAUCAUAUCUCCAUCCACCGAGCUCCAAAUUAGAUGAUUCUUGAAGCAUUGGAACGCUAAGUCAAAGGGUUACAACUUUCAUGUUUUGCACAACAGCCAGUUCGGUGGCUAUCAUAGAGAAAAUUACAGUUGAAACGAGGUUAAAAGUGAAUACGCGUAUGGAAGCUGAAUUUCUGCAAAUUGCUCAGCCAUUUUUCUCAUUUUCAUACUACUUUCUAGCUGUAGUUGGAGAGAAAACUUAGGUUGCACAUGUUUCUGAUGCACAAAGGAAGAAAAAUAGCUUAUUGUCAAGUCAAAAAGAUACGGUAGAAUCAAGAGGCUGAUCAUUGUUUUGUUGACUUUGUUAACACCUUAGAUUUGGAGAAUCAAGGGGGGAGAAGAAAAAUAUGGUAGGAGAGGGAAGUGACAUCAGAAUUUAGCAUAAAAAUUGAGGCUGGUGAUAUUCUCUCUAGCCAGCAAUUUUUACAAAAAACACUUGGAGAGCUUGGAGAGACAUACGGGAGAAAGCUUGGGUCUGCAAAAAUGUAGCUCUUCCAUUUUUUGUGUGUUAGAUUAGUUUAGUAUAGAGUAGUAUAGCUCAUCCACUCUUGUAUAUUGACUAGAUUAGGAUGAAGAUGGAGAUAAAGAAAGAGAAGUUGAAGCUCAUGUGACAAGGGUUAUCUCUUCUCCAACUCUUUAUCUUUUGUAUUGGAUUCUUAAGUAUGGUCAAUAUACAAGUUUUGGAUUUUAUGUUUAUUAUGUGUUUCUAAAGUUUAUGCCUUGGGUUUGGUUGAACUUUCUAUGAUUGCUAGUGUUUAUUAUUUGGCUAUUUGAUUGCUAUGAUGUGAGCAAGUUAUUUAGCACUUUAGAUCUCUAAAUCAUAAUUAAUCUGGUACCAUUAAUUGUGAUUAUCUAAGAUGUUGUUUCUGCAAUGAAAAUUGAGAUUUAACACUGGUUCAAGAAGUGCUAAACAUAAGGAGUACACUCACAAGAGUAGAGGUGCACCUAUGUGGUUUUAGUGAUUAAUUUCAUGUAAUUUCAUUGAAGAAAUGAACUUGUAGCUAAUUUCAUAACCAUGAGAAUAAGUAUGGAUUAGUUAUAAGUAUAGUUGAUUCACCACGAAAGUAGGAUUCAUAUGCAUAAAGAAAUUACAUCAUAACUAGCCAAGAUAGUGGUAAUCAAUGAUCCAAAAAUAGCAUUUGCAUGAGUAGUUAGGGAUACCAUAACCUAAGGAGCUUUCAUUUGUUAUUUUGCAUAAGUUCAGUAGGUUUCAUUUCUUAUAUUUUAUUGAUAGUCAAAAUAAUAAAGAAACUUUAGUAGUGCCGGUAAUUGUUCAAUCUUUCUCGUGUGAUCGACCUGAUAUAUACCCUAAACUACUAGUUGACCUGUAUACUCGCAGUGAAACGGGUGUAUUUCAGAUUUUUAACUUGUACGUAUAUUAAAAGCUCGUCACAAGAGUAGUAGGUUUAUUCUUAUCUUUUCAUUUGCUACGUAAUUCUGACUAGGUUCAAGCUAGAAAAUCCAUAUGGAGACUUGAUUUUCAAGAGAUCCUUUUAGAGGGCUAGUUGUCCUAAUCAGGAAGGCCACAAAUACGCACGUACAAAUCUUAUCCACUCAAACAGAAGAUAAUUAAGGAAUCAGCUACACCACUACAAAUUCUCUGCUUUGCACAUCUGCACUUCACUGGUUAAUUUCCAUGUGAAUUCAGCAAAAUAUGCAUCUAAAUUCUAUCUUUCAAAAAGAGUGGUUACGUUCUUUAGCCUAAAUUAAACGACAUGACAAUCAAAGACAAAUUUUGUAUUACAAGAAGUGUAUGGUUGAUUAAUCAAAGACAAAUUUUGUAUUUUGUAACACAAAUAGGUUUGUAGGAAUUCAAAUUCUACCAUUUUCAUUGAGUAAUGAUUAAUGAACUAUUGGCCUUAGAAGCACCAUGAACUUUUUGUUGCACAAUCCUUGAUUAUGUCUCGUUUUUUCAAGAUUAUCCUAGUUUAAGUCCUUGAGUAAAAACUCACCCAUCUGACCUCCAAAGUGUUUUGAGAACCUUGAGACUGCACUCCCUUUACCAGCCAAACUCUCCAAAUCAACCUUCUUUUCUAGUCAAUUGGAUUAUUUUCUACAUAUAAUGACUGACAACCAAAUGGCUUCUGAUCAUUUCUAUAUUGCAAAGCAUGACCUCUUAGCGUACUUCUAGCGUAUAAAAUUAACCAUUUGAAUAUUAACUGACUUGUUAGAUAAGGAUCCAUUUGAAUGGAAUAAUGAAGUAAAUGCUGGUUUUCAAACUAGAACUGUACUGCACCAGUUUUAGCCUUGCUAUAUUUUUUUGAAACAUUAAUUAUAUACCUGUGAUUAAUACUUAUAAGGCAAUAGAAUUGAUGAGUACUAAUUGGCUAGCGAUACUACUAAAGCCAUAAUCUUCUAGUCAAAGUAAUAUUUAUCCAAACACGGACACUACUCUCAAUUAGUUAAUGCCAUAUAUUCUAAUUGUUGUUUUUGAACUCAUUAUCCACGAAUUACUCAUUUUCUUUCUCUUUCUCAUUGACAGAACGAGCUUUUGUCUACUUCUCUCAUUUCCCCUCCAAUUCUUGCCUUCCAAUCUCUCUCCCUAUUUCCUAUUUUACAAUUUGUUUUCAUUUUGUUGAGACUUUUUGUAGUAUAUGGUUCAAGAUCUUUUGCAUAAUACUAUUCUCCGCUUUGCUCUUGUUAUUUUUCCAUCACUAUUAGUAAGUGUUUCUUUUUUCUUCCGUUUUUGCUUUUAUUCCAUUAUGUUUUCUAUUAAAUAAUCUUUUCUUACAAUUUUUUUCUUUUAUUCCAUUAUGUUUUCCAUCACUAUCAGCACAUUAUUACAAAUUUCAUCAAUUUUUUUAUAACUCCUCCAUGUUCCAGGUGCUUCUUAUUAUGAGUGGUAUACCUACUCUUGAACGGCUUCAUCAAUUUUAAUUGAACUUUAAAUCUUUACGGUGCAAUGGUUGCUUUAGUGGACAAGCUCAUAUUCGUUAGCAAGAGAAGAGGGAGAUCAUUAGGCCAUAUCUAAUCAUCCAUACUAAAGUCAUUUUUUUCAUAUUAUAAAAUUAUAACCUUGAGGGUUUACUAUUUUUUUUAAUUCAUAUUUUUUUUAUUAAAGAUCAUGGAAAAACUGUGUGAUUGCUUUUAUAAUGUCAUUCAAACUCAAUCCUAUGAUAUAUGCAAAUGCUUUAUUUCUUUGAAUUUUGCUUGUUUAAUGUAUUAGUGUGCAAUUGAUCUCCUUAUAAACUUCACUACCUUUUCCGCUUUUCUAAUUAUUAUAUGAAUCUUGAUUUCAACAUGUGUCCAUAUUUUCUAAUAACUAGAUUAAAUUUAUUUUUAAUUGUGUUAUGUUCUAUACCCCAUGCAUAUAGAAGGAAAAGUGUGUGUACAUUUUUUUGGACUAUUUUCAUUUUAGAUUGUUAGUUGUUUGAGUUAAAUCACAUUGUAUUUGCAAAAAAACAAAAUAGCUUUUAAAUACGACUUUGAAAAUUAAAAAUAAGAGUGCUUUAAAGUAAAAGAAUUACAAUCUAAGAAAAAAUAUGGUAAAAACUCAAAACCAAAUCAAUGAGUUAUGAAAAUAAUAGAUAAAUAAAUUAAAGAGAUGGAAGAAGUAGGCAAGCUAUUCAAUUAACUAGAGAGAGAUGAAAAGAAAUAAUUGGUGGAUAAUGGGUCCAAGAGAAUCAAUGAGAAUAUAUGGUGUUGAAUAGUUGAGGGUAAUGUUGGUAUUUGGAUAAAUAUUGUUCUGGCAAGAAUAUUAUUGCUCUAACAGUAUCGCCAGCCAUACUAAUUACAUUUGGUAUAAAAUGCGAAAAAUGGAAAUGUUUUAGUUGGAAAUCAAAAAGUAUGGGCGCCCAUGAAGUAUUUCUCAAAUUAAGGGUGACAACAUAUGUGUUGGUUGGGAUCUAAAUUUUUACCAUCUAAACCCAACCCAAACUCAGCCUAUAAUGCAUAGAUAAUAACACAAAAUAGUAUUAAGAUAAUAGCACAUAUAUAAAUUUUCACCCAUUUAUAUGUAUUUAGAUAAUACCACAUAGAAUGCUGUAUACCUAAAAGUGCAUACAUACACAUAUGUAUAUGCGCAUAGGCAUGUUUUGUAUUAUAGUUACUACAUACAUUCAUGUUAACACAUUAAUUUUUGGAAGAAUCUUUGUCAUUCUUUCACCAUAUAUUUUGUUAAUCAGAAUAUACUUUUCCUCAAGGAAGUUUCAAAACUAUUAAAAUUUAAAUUUUUUCUCAGAUGACUUUUUGUAGGACACUAAUCAUGGUAAAUAAAAUAGGUCAAUGACCCAAUGUCACAAGAAUUGUGUGAAAUUAUGGAUAUUCAUGGGCCCGUACCCGUUAGGUCACUUGUACACCUUUGGACCCUGGUUUGAAUCUAAACAAAUUAAUUUUGGUGUGGAUCUAAGUGGUCUAAUGACGAAUAGAUCCCCAAGCCCAAAUCCAUUUAGGCUCCGGUAUGGGUUUUACCUUUAGCCCUAUUAGAGUUUGUAUCCAAACAAAUUAUAUUUUAUAAAGUUGAGCCCGGAAAUUUCAACCCAAACCAAGCACUAACAUCCUUAACAAGAAUCACGAUAUACGUGUGUAAAAUCUCUAUCAGAAUUAUAUUGGUUGAUGAUAUGUAAAAACAUGCUAAGCAACUUAUAAAUUAUGAUUCGAAGGAUAUAGUCUGACCGCAGCAGCGAUUGGUGUCGAAUUCACCUAAACUUUAUCCCAAAAAAAAAAAUUGUGUCAGCUGGCUUAAUAUUUAUUGAAAAUCAGACAUAAGCAGUAUAUGGCACGCUCUUUUUGGCUUGGUCUAUGCAUAGGUUCUAUAUAAGAUUUUAAAUCAAGCUAACAAAAUCAUCACAAUCGAUGUCAUCCCUGUAAAGAAUGUGCAUACAAGUUUGUAUAAAAUUCAAUUCCGAAUUUUGUUUGUUGAAUACAAUUAUUGGAUAUUAUAUAUGAGAUUCUUCAUAUUUGCAGAUUAUAAAAAUUUUUCCUUAAAGAGGAAUUUUCACAAGAGCUAUACCUCUUCUUGGUAGACUGCUAUGUAACUGGUUUCUCGGUUUUCUUUUUAAAUGUUGCGUCAUCAUUUGCAUUUGGUAUGUUCAUCUAUCAAAAUGUUAGCUGUCAAUCAAAUUUGAAUGCAGAACUCUAAGAUGCCGUAGUGGACCGAGAAGGAUUUUGGCACUGGGGCCAGAGGGCAAAUAUUAGUUUACCAAAUCGAUAAAGGGGCUUACCUCUACUUUUACAAAAAUCUUUCUGGGACCAGGGUGGGAGAGCAGGGAAGCGAAGGAAAUAUAAUGUAAUUUUUUCUUUUAGUGUAAAUGAAAGGAUUUGAAUUCGGAACCUCUCGCUUAUAUUUCCUACUCCCGUACCAUCCAAUCGAUCUCACCCCUGGGAGUAUAAUAUAAUUUUCUUAAAGACUUGUCUAGGAACUUUCACUUUUAGAAUGCAGGAAAUAUAGUUUUUAAAGUCUUGGAAGGGUUAAUACUUAAUACCCCUACAUGGCACUUGAUAGGAAUUACCCCUUUUGGUUUUAAAAUCAUAAACUCAACUGGUAUGUUGCAUGUCCAACUACAAAAAUUGCAACAAAGGUUUCCUUUUUUUUUUCUUUUAGCAUUGCAACAAAGCUUAAAAUAAAGAAAAUUUAUUUGUCUUUAUUAAUGAAAAAUGUAGAGUUUCAAGAUGUGUUAGCAUUGGCUUCUUCUAACAUUCAUAAUCACAAAGACACGUCAUAACCUAUAAUAUACCUGCGGCACGAUGAUCAAAGGUCAUCAAGAACAGAAAAAAGAUCAAUGCCUUUGCCAUCUUCUUGUUUUUGGUUUUUUUUUUUGUGUGUCUUUCUUGCUCUUGGUUAAGCUAGAAUACUACAUCCUACAAGUGUUCCAGAAGGUCUUCUGUAUAUUGAAACUUUACCCACCAUAAAGAUUUGAUUAUUAAUGCCAAAUCUUGUAUUUAUGGUAUUAAUCAAAUAGCAUAUGUUACUUUAGUAAGUGAAUCACUAAAACUGAGAUGUGAUUUUAUAAAAAUUAUAUCAUGUCUAAUAAGAAUAGUAAAAAAAAAUUUGCAUCAUUAAUGUGUAUUUAUCGAAUUAAUGCUGCUAGAAUUGGUUACCAAAUUUUCUCUCCACAGAUAUUUUAGAAACUGUGAAUGGAAAAGUUACAUCAGGCAACAUGCUGAUACUUCAAUACACGAGCAUCUAUACCAGUAUUUGGAUAACAAAUCCAGUACAUGAGCAUUUCAGUUCAUGAAAAUAUUUUACCUCGUUUUUCGAAAAUUAUGAUAACAAAUCUAUGAACUUAAAAAAAUCGAUGCUUGAAGGAUUAUCUAGUUAGUAGUGGGAAGGGUACACCCUUCAUUAGGUUUAAAUUAAGGAAAAUUAACAGAAAGUUAUUAUAUGAAUUUAGGACCUGUUUAAUGGAUUCAAAUCUUAAUAUAUUCAAAUGUGUCUGAUAACUAAAAAUUGAACAUCUCAUUCAGCAUUUAAACCUAAUGAAUUCAGAUUUUAAUAUAUUUAGAUGCAUUUGAUAACUAAAAAUUAAAUAUCUGAAUUAAUUAAAUGGCACUAAAGUUUUUAGGCACAAUUGGCUCCCAAUAACAAGUGAUAAACUAUUCACUUAUUAUUAAUGUGAUAUACAAUCAAAUAUAUCAAAUUUAGUAAUUUAAAAUUUUAAUUAAUUUAAUAGAUUCAAAUUUCAGACUUCAAUUUUAUUAAACGCACCCUUAGAGAAUCAAAAAUAAAUUGAGGAUAGGAAGUUAUGGAAAAUUAAAAGGUAUUAGGACACUUGUUUAGCGAGGGCAUUGCUAGGAAGCACAAAAAUGUUACAUCAAUGUAUCUGCUCUCACUAUGUUAAAGUUGAAACAAUGGUGUUGCUCUUGCUUUUAUGGUGCCAUAAAAGGAAGGUGAAGUCAAUAGAAGAAAUAUAUCCAAGAAACUAUUGUGCAUUAUGUUGAAAUUAAAAUUGAAAUUUGAAAUGACUCAUUUCAAAUGAAAUGCUGCAAUAAUAUAACAAUCCAUGACUAAGUUCUUAACAGAUUAUGACUUGGGUCCCAGCAAGCCUAGGAUGUUUAGUCCGUUGAUUAUAAAUGCUAGAUGACAUUUUUCUCUGAUAUUUCUUGACUAUACCGUAACAAUAACAUUUUCUUUAAUGAUAACAACACUAAUGAACUGGAUUCCAUCAGAACUUCAAAAUUAAACGUGCUUAGACUAGAAUAGUAUUAGAAAGGAUAACAAUAACAUUAUACUAGGCCACCUAGCUGAUUGGGAAAUUAGGCGGCAGGAUAGGAAGCAUUCUGCAUGGUAACACGCAUAGUGGCAAAGCCAGGAUUACUUUUAAGUGGAGACACAAAUAAACUGCAAAUUCCUUUUGAUUCUUGAACAUUUACAAUUUUUCGGUUUGAACUAUUGAUAAGUGCAUAUUCUAUGUAUUUUUAGUGUGUUUUAUUAGUUAGUUUUGGCAUGUUUUAGCCACUUUUAUAGUUAAUUAACUAGGAUUUUAGUGAAAAUAUGCAUUUUGUGAUUUAAGUGGUAAAAAUAGCAUUUCUAUGGAUUUUAAUAGUGAAAACUUCAUGUUUUUGUAGAUUUAAUAAUGGCAUGAAUUGAGAAGAUAAUUAGAUGAUUGAUGAUAAUUUGAAGUUAUUUAAAGAAGACAUGUAGUGCAAAACGUUUAAAGGAGAAAUGCAAGUUAAGACAGUUUUGACACCUUAUGAUAUUUCAACCAUAUCUUGAGCUACAAACGUCAGAUUAAGGUGAUUCUUAUACCAUUUUGAAGCUAAGAGAAAUAUCUACAUUUAGUAUAAAGAAUCAAGUCCAUUGAGAUCGUUUUCCUAGCUGAAAAGUCAAAAUACAGAAGUGCAAUUUAAUGAUCGAAAGCUGAAACAAGGUAUUGACCAGUUGCCUGUAUUUUGGUCAUUUAUCAGUCCACAGAGCUCCAAAUUAGAUUAUUUUUGAUGCAUUGGAAAGCCAACUCAAAGGACUACUUUUAUGUUUUACAAAAGAGCUAGUCCAGCCUCUAACAUCAAGAAAAUAUCAGUUGAAAUUGGACCAAAAAUAGAGUAAAGAGGAAUUCUGCCCAGAAAAUGCAAACCUGCAAAGGAGAAAAUGUGGGGUUCGGUCGCGUUUUCGAGUCACGUAUUCUUCAUUUUCUGCUGCAACUUGCUUUGCAACUUAUUUUGCAUUCACACAACCUUUUCAACUCAUCUACAACUCAGAAUUUCGGCUGUAUCUGACCAAGAAGAGUGUGAAAAUUUGGAGAACAACUCUUGGUGAGUUCAAAAGCCAACUUUGCUAACCAAGAAACAGCUCAUCUUGAGCUUUAAUUCUCUAUAAAUAGCAGCCUUUAGAGAACAUUUUCACAACUUUGGAAGGCCAGAGAAACUCUACAAAGAUAUAGUCUUCACUAGAAUUUCUUUUAUUCAUUAGUUAGAGUAGUAUAGUAUAGUUAGUUUAGUUUUUCCUUUUUGUAUUUGUAGUUAGAUUUGGAUGAAAAUUUGAAGAGUAAAGAUGGAGAAUUAGAAUUCACGUGACAAGGGUAACUUCCGUCCUAUCACUUUUUUUUUGUAUUUGAUUUCAUGUUUAACUAUAAUAUAAGUUUGGUGUUUGUUUUCAUGUUUAGUUAAAGUUUAUGCCUAAAAUAUGGAUAAACUUUCUAUAUCUUAUUUGUGAUAUUUACUUGGUCAAUUAGUGAUAUUAUUUUAAACAAGUUAUUUAUCACUUUUGUUUUUCUAAUCAUGAUUAACCGGCCAUUAAUUGUGAUAAUGUUAAGGUGUUAAGUUUGCAAUGAGAAUUGAAAUUUAACACUAGUUCAAGAAAGUAAUAAACCUAGGGAGUACACUUGUGAAAGUAGAGAUAAGUGGUUUAAGUGACUUGUUUCUUGUAAUUUCAUAGAAGAAAUAAGUUUGUAGUUAAUUUCAUAACCACGAGAGUAGGUAUGGUUCAGCCGUAAGUAUAGUUGAUUCACUAUGAGAGUAGGUUUCACAUAUAUUAGAAAAUUACGCCAUAAUUAGUCAAAAUAAUAGCAUUCACUUAACCGGUAACUUCACUUGCAAGAAUAAUAAGGAAUUCCAUACCUCUAUGAGUUUUCUAUUGUAUUUUUUGUUAUUUUUACAGUGUAGAUUUAAUUUCUUGCACUUAUGAUAGUCUAAAUAAUAAAGGAAUUCGAAAAUCACUGAUAAAUGAAAAUCUUCCCUAUAGGUUCGAACCUUAAUACCCUAUACUGUGACGACUCCACUUCUCCUUAAGGCGAAUCCUAGGGUUUCGACGGGCCGCCUACCUAACUCUCACCAAGACUCGAUACAAGUCAAGAUUAUAAUUUAGACCUAAACAACCAAUAAGAAACUAAUAUAAAGAAAAGUCACUUCCUUCGAUAGUCAUCCAAUUGUACAUCAUAAUAUUUCCAAAAGUUACAUCAAAUUUUCCCAAAAAUACAACCACCAAAAGUUGACUAUAUCAUUUACAUCCACAAUUGGACCAAAAGAUAAUCAAAGCUAGAUUCUCCAAAAUCUUUCCACUUUAAAUUCCUGCUAAGGAAAACAAACUUAAAGGGGUGAGCUAACGCUAAGUGAGGCCAAGAAAAGCAGGCAGCAAACAGGUACAUCUAGCAAUAAUAACAUAUAAAUAAAAGGCAACCAAAAUAUUCAUGUAAAAUCACAAAAGGAAUUAAAAACACAAUCAAUGAAGGAUACGGAAACUCUCAGGAGCUAAAUCCACACUGCUUCAUCGAUAAUCUUGAUCCAUAAUUUUCAAGUUGACACUUCGUCAAUCGAGCAAGUAACAAGUCUAUAGAACCCCACUUUUCACCAAUUUCCGUCCACCGUUACACCCCCUAACCGGGCCCGAACGUCAAAAGUUUUGAUAUUACUCGAGUAUAUCGAGGCAAGUAGUGUAUGAGCCCAAGAUUCACCAAACUCCUCAACCAAGCCCUUGCUGGCUUGAGUUGAUUGGCUAGCCAUUGGGUUUGGGCGUCCCCACGAGUAUCAGUGGUCGAUGAGAUUGCUUUCAAAUCAACGUCAAGUCAAAUACAGGUAUAAUUAUCAAGUACAAGCAGAUCAAUUAUCAAGUCAAGUAAAAGAGAACGAGUGCGAUAAAAUACACACUCGUUUUGACAAGUCCAAUUCUCAUAUUCAAAAAGAAGUAGUUCAAGUAUUAUGCAACAAGUCAUGGUAUUAUGCAACAAGUCAUGCACUUGACACUCACCAGUUUCAAAAACAAGUGAGCAAGAAAUUCCUUUAAAGUUCGUCGCCGGAAUUCCUUUCGAAUCCCUUUUGAGUACCUGAAGAAAUAUUAACCAACCAACACUCACGGAUACCCUAGGUCAUCGAGCAUACAAAAAAGAAAGUUCGUUUGCCUAGAAUUAGGAUAAUGCAUCAAAAUGGGUUUAUUUCAUUGAAAACAGAGAUUCACAAAUGAAGGUUUAAAGUCACAAGUUCAAGUCAAGUUAAAGGUGCUUUUCUCGCUAAAUCAUUGAAAUAAUACUCAAAGAGAACUCAAAAGUCAUUUUUGAUUCAUGUCAUAGUAAGUAAAUUUCAAUUCCAAAAGAAAGUACCAUAUUUACUUUUGAAACGAAAAUCGAGAAAAAGAUAGAUGGUUUUCAUUCCUCAAAACUUCUAAUCUCAUGCCCGAACUUUAAAAUAUAAAGAAGUUCACAUUUUCAAACUAAUGGAGUCAAAACUCGUCCAAAACUCUACUCAUUUCAUCGUAAAUGUCAAAGCCAAAGGUUCCAAGUUUUGAGUAGAAAACUAGUUAAAAUUCUCUAAGAUUUUCUCUAGUUAAAACGCUCCACUUUUAAAGUUAAAUGUCAUGGAAAUGAAGGGUAUAAGCCUAGGGAUUGAAAUCCAUAACUCAAGUAUAAAAAGAGGUGCCAUUAACCAAGGAAGUUAAACAACCAAGUAAACACAUUAAGAGAGGUUUAAUCCUUUAGAAACCAAGAUUUAAAAUCAAGGUUUAAAGCUCAAAAAAACCUUGUAUCCGACCAUGAAAUUAACUUAAAACAGGCCAACAAUCACAAAGAAAGGUUGGAAGUGCUUAAAAGAGUACUUUGUAUGAAACCAGAAAUUUCCAGUUUAGUGUGACACUACUUGGAAAAAUCAUAUCUCAAGCUCUGUAAGUCCAAAAGUUGGAAAGUUUAUAUUGUUGGAAACUAGACUCAAGGCACUGAGGGUGGUGAAUAGUCUGCGGGGUCCACUCCCUGCGGGAUACACCUAAAAAAAAAAAAAAAAAAAAAAAAGGCACUAAAACUCUCUAGAAGAUACUUUUCUUAGACUCCAAUCUGAAUUCACUCAAAUUUUAGCUCAAAAUCACUGUUCCAGACAAGACAGGGCAAAAUAGGCUUGCAAUUUCAGUAAAGUUUUGAAAUUCGGUAAAAUUCGUAGGAAUGGAAUCAACCCUUUGAAAUUUAUACUGCUAAUAGAAUUUGAAAUUUAAUUUCAAAUGCAAUAAAUGGAACCCAAUUUGGACCUUUCUACAUCAAGAUACAAUGGUUUUAAGAAAGCUGAAUUUUGGAACCUAUUACACGAAAUUUCCAGUUUUGAAGGCUUGACAGAGUUUAAAAAUCUGAUCAUAACUAGAGCUACACAACUCAAAAUUUAGUGUUUUUGUGGCAUUGAAAACUAGAUUCAAAAUACUACAAAUUACUAGAAGGAACUGUCUUAAAAUUCGUUUUGCAAGAUAGGUAAAAUUGAGCUACAAACUGCAGCUAGGACUGUUUCUCGGAUGAAAGCAGUGAAGAAAUUCAGUCAUCUUUGCCGGUUCACUAUGGCUCAUAGAAAAUGAAUUUGGAGGUGCAUUUUAUACCAAUGGAAAGCUCUCGGAGUCUAGUUUUGGUUGCCACAAAUGGCACUCAAUUUCAACUCCCAAACAAAAAGUUAUGAUCCAAAACGUGAACACUAAUCGGUGCUUCUGGUCAGAAAAUUUCCAGAUUUCUUCCUCACUUAAACCUUACUUUAACUCAACCAAUUGUACAGCUUUUUGGGAGAUUUUUAACACACAUAAACACCAUCAUAGAACAAACAUUAUAGCACCAAAAUAACAUCAAAAUUCGAAAUUAAUCUGAGGGUUUCAUCAAGCCAAAUUUCGGACAGCAAGCAUCCUUCAUCUUCUAGUUUUCUUUUCCAACUUUCCAACUAAAACUAAGCCAUAUCUUCUAAAAAUAAGCAUCAAACAAGCAAGUAAAUAUACAAAAUCUGAAAGCCCCGAUGCAACCAAAUACAACCAAAAUACUCAACCAGACAAGUAGUCAAGUAAAUACAAUGACAAAGAAUAUAAGCAAUUUUAAAGCACAAAAAUAAAGUAACAAUAAAGUAAAAGAAAUUCAAACCAAUCAAACUCCCAAGCUUCUUCCAACCUUGGAGUUGAAUCCACCAACUUCCUUUUCAAAUUAUUUUUGCAAUCAAAAACACCUUUUUGAUUUUUUAAAUCAUCAUUUUCCAUUCUCAAACAUUUGUUUUCUUGAAAAAGUUUGGAGUUUUCUUCCAACAAAUCAUUUAUUUUUGUUUUCAAAUCUUUAUUUUUAGCAUAAGAUUCUCUCAAACUUUUAUGCAUUUUAAUCAUAAGAAUUUGCACAUCAUCAUCUUCAUUAUCUUCAUCACUAGAAGAGUGAUAAGAAUUUACCUCAUCUUCUCCAAAGGCCAUUAGUGCCAUUUUGGCCAACUCUUCUUUUUCUCUUUUUGAAUUGCAUUCAUCCCAUGUAAUUUUGCAAUCUCCUCUUGAACUUCUCUUGUUGAAGAUCUUCUUGAAACUUUUGAUGUGAGGAGUUAUAUCAUUGUCCACUUCCAUGUUUUCAUUACCCAUGAAGGAUGGGUUAUCCCCCACUUGAGAUGCUUUAAAAGCUAUGCCUCUCUUAUACAUUCUUGCAUUUUCUUCCUCUUGCACUUUGAAUUUCAGCUUUAAUUCAUAAGAGGUUAGGGAAUUCACAAGAGAUUCAAUGGACAUAGAAUUUAAAUCCUUUGCCUCUUCUAUAGCAUUUAUUUUGUUUUCCCAUUCUUUUGGCAAGGCAUUCAAAAUCUUUCUAUUUUUCUCACCCAAAGAAUAUUCUUUUCCAAGCAAUUUAAGAUCUUGAAUAAUGUCACAAAAUCUACUACACAUCUUAUCAACAUUUUCAAGAUGAUGCAUUUUGAAAAAUUCAUAUUGAGAAACAAGCAAAGAUUUCUUUUGUUCUUUAAUAUCUUGGUUACCUUCAUGAAAUUCACACAAUUUAUCCCAAAUAUCUUUAGCUGAUUUACAACCUUUAAUCCUACUAGAUUCAUUUACAUCUAAUGCAUUGUACAAUAUAUACAUGACCUUGGCAUUCAAAGAAAGGUAUCUCUUGUCUUUUUCAUUCAAUUCUUGUCUAGUUUUUAAUCUACUCAAAUUAGUGGUAGAGUCAACUAUUCUAGCUUCAUAAGGACCAUCUUCUACCACAUACCAUAAUUCAAUAUAAACGGAUUGUAAGAAAAUCAUCAUUCUUUGUUUCCACAUGCUAAAAUGAGAACCAUUAAAUAUAGGUGGUCUAUCAAUAGAUUGCCCUUCUAAAAAGGAAACUUUUAUGGUUGCCAUGAUCUUUACUCUAAGCGGUUAAGCUUAAUCUCUAGGAGACCAAGCUCUGAUACCAAUUGUAAGCCCCGAUGCAACCAAAUACAACCAAAAUACUCAACCAGACAAGUAGUCAAGUAAAUACAAUGACAAAGAAUAUAAGCAAUUUUAAAGCACAAAAAUAGAGUAACAAUAAAGUAAAAGAAAUUCAAACCAAUCAAACUCCCAAGCUUCUUCCAACCUUGGAGUUGAAUCCACCAAAUAGUUUCUUCAAUUGAUGGUAGUGCUAACCAACUUGUACAAGCGUCCGAUCCUCUACGUCCGAACCUUCAUAUUUCUUAACUUCUCUUUGAUUCAAAUCUUUUCGAUUCUCUUUUGGAUCAAUGACCUGUUCUAACAAAUUUCUCACAUAAAAACAUUAGUCCAAAUCUACAUUUUGGUUUGUUAAUCAUCAAAACCAAGGACUAAUCAACCAAGGUCAACAAAAUCCUCAAGGCCUCUACCUAUAAAGUCACCUCAAGUCUUCUACCUAAUGUCAAGGUUCUUGUGAACCCAUCAACAACCCAACCACUAACUAGCUAGACUAACUAAUCUAUCCAUAAUUGAAGGAAAAGAUGAGAGCUUUAGGAAUUUUACCUUUCUUCCAAGAAUGAAGAACAACCACUAGUAUAAGCUCUUGAAUCACCAAAGUUUCUACCUUGUUCAAAUCACCUUCCUAGCUUAUAUGAAGAACCAAGGAAAGAAGCAAGUGUGGAGAGUUUUCGUGGAGCAACAAUGGAAGAAGCUAGCUGAAUUUUUUGGGGAGGAAAUGGGGGAGGGGAGUCUGCCAAGGUGAGGAGAAGAAGAGAAGGGUUUUGGGUGGUAGUUGGUGAUUUCAUUGAAUGACAAGAAUAAUGACAUAAAGGUGUUCUUGACCCAAAAGUCAACAAUCGUUUAGUGAGCAAUUAGUGCUCCUAAUUGAGUUUAAUUUAACUCACUCACCUCUAAUCUCUCAAUUAAUUUUUCUUAGUUUACUAUUGAUCAUCCUUAAUUCUCCAAGAUUAAUGUACUCUCGGUCCGAAUUUGCCUCAAAAAACGUGCAUUCGCUAUUUCUCACUAAACAAGCCAAAGAAAAAUUAAAUUCGCUAACGAAACUUUUUAAAAAUAUAAAUGAGACAUUGUUCCAUGUAAAUGGAUUUAAAAUGGAUGAAAUAAAUUAUUUGGAGUAAAUGGGUAAAUAAAUAAUUAAAUAAGCCAGUAAAAUAAAAAUAAAAGUAAGUAAAAUAAAAAUUCGGGUCCUCACAUAUACUCAAUCGCGACUCGUACACUUGGAAAAAAUCGCGUGUGGGGUAUUUAGAAUUUAUAAAUGUAAAAUUUGACUGUAGAAUGAGUUUAUUGUUAUAUGUGUACCCCGCGCUGGUCAACUAUGAAUCAACCAAUAAUUCUUUUAGAGCAAUGGAAUAACUGUAAUAAGCAUGUUCACCCUAGAGGUUUUAUUAUCUUUUUUUUCCCCAAAGAUUGCAAAUGGCAAAGAUUUUUUUUCUUCGAAAGUACUUGAUUUAAAUGAAUAUCUUACUUGAAGCAAUGGGCUAAUAAAGAGACGUGUACAUUAUUUGACAUGAAAUUAUAUAGUUACAGGACAUUUUACUACAUCGUGCUCCCACUAACAAAUUGAUUAUGGUGUGGAAGAAAGAAUUUAUCAUACAUAUACUUCAUUGCUAGAAAUCUGAAAAUUUUAUUAGAUGGAAGAUGGUGCAUCUCCAACAAUUGUCGAAGAAGAAAAGAUGGUAGAGAAGAUUUCCAUAUACGUCUGAUGUAGAACAAGCAUUCCCGGCGAAUAAUUGAGCAGCCACUUUUGGAUCCCUAGGAUGUCCAAUUGGCCUCACAAGUCCCAAGUAAUAAAAUUCUAUAGAUUAACAAAGAUACCAUCUACCAGAAGUCCAAUUGGCUGAUAUUUUUAAGCAUAUGUUGAUGAUGUAUGUGUGUUAAUUACAAAGAUACUGCACGAUUUUAUUUUUAUUUUUGCUUUUUUAGCAGGGAAUUUUUUUUUUUAAUUUCUUUUCUAACAGGGGAGGGGUAGGAUUCAAAAAGCAGAAAGGAGGAAGGGAGGUUAGAAUCCAGGACCUCUAAUUUCUAAGUGCCUCAAUUUUAGUCACUAAACCUUGGUGGAUUUAUGUAAUGCAUUAGUAGGAAUUUGUUUUAGAACUUUUUCCUUGAAAUCAAGUUGCUUCUGCCGUGCAUUAUGUGCUAGUGUGUUAGCAAAGAUAACUUAAUAUAUUAUUAUAUAAAAAAAAAGAUAACUUAAUAUAUAUUUUUUAAUCUUUCUAUCUCUCCUUACACUCUUUCCAUCUCUAAUCGUCAGGUAUCAAAAUCAAAUCAUUUUACCAUCACAUCCCUCCCCACACUCUUUUCACCACAACUAUCAAAUAUAAACUUCGAACCUCGAACCUCACAGAGAGAACUCUAAAAAUUUAGCUUUUUUAUUUUUGUACCUCUUUUUGUUUCCUGUUUUCACAAGAUUGUUCUAUGAUUGAGGGUAUUUAUGGUAACAGACAGGUACUAUAUUUUGGCGGAUGGCUGAUUGCCCUACUUGUAAUAAAACAACUUAAAAGAGGAACAGAAAUCAAGAUGCUAAUUUUUGCCCACUGGACAACAUUGAGAUUUCCAUUUUGCAAAUUUAAAAGAAUUAGCAUUUUUUAGUAUCCGUUAGCACAUUUAAGGUAGACCUAACAUAUGACGUCAAUACACACAAUUACAAUUAGGGUUAAUUUCACAUACCUCCCCGAAAGUUUUUGACAAUUGCAGAAAGCUCCCCUCGAGUUCUAAAAAUUACACCUACCUCCCAUAUUUUCACUACUUAAGUAACAUUUUAACCCCAAAAGGCUAUACUUUUUCUCAAAAUUCCUAUAAUGCCCUUGAGUUACAAUUCACAAUAAAAAUGUAAAGGAAAAAAAUGGUUCACAGUCUCUAUUUCGUUUAUCUUUACUUGCUAUCACUAUUACCUACCCAUCAAUAUCCAAAUCACUAUUAAAUAAAUACUUAUCUUUGUUUUAAUGUUUCUCUUUUACCUAAAAAUUUAUAAUGUAGACAAUUGUAUCAACUAUAAACGCUAUAUCAGAUACCCAAAAACUUAUCUACCAUCUCAUGUCAAUAUCAGAUUUUACUCAAUACACAACAAUAUUCAUCAAUAUCCCUAAAUUUCAAUUCUAUGGCUGUCACCUUUUUAAUACAAAAUAAUUUAACUCAUCACUACUAAUGUCAAUAUCCAAUAUAUUCCAUUAGCACGGAGCUCAAAAUCAAUCAAAUUCUCUUUAUAGGAAUAAUAUCAAUAAUUGUAAAUCAAAAAUAGAAAUACAAUGUAGUUAUAAAUAUAUACCAAGAACAUUUUUUUUUCAUGACAACCAUAACAGCAUAACCUAUAUUUAGUUUCUAUCCCACUUCCUAUCCUUAAUUUUUAUUUUUUUUUAUUACUGUAACUAUCUUCAUCUCUAUCUAGUUUGAUAAUGAAAUUUGCACUCAAUUUGUCAUUUGACAAUUGCAAUUUGCUAAUGCCUAUCAAAAAUUGGAAACAAAAAUGGGCCCAAAGAAACUAUUUAAUAAUAAUGAAAAAUCGAGAAUUGGGAAUAGAUACCAAAAUAUGCAAGUAUUGGUGGUUUGUGUGUACGGUGAUUUUAUUAGUAACGAUAGUACAUAUUUGGUUAAUAAUAAUAAAUAAAUAAGUUUGAAAGGAAAAUAGAUAUAGGAGGAAGAGCAUAGAUAGUUAAAUAGGAAAGACUGUAGUUUGAAUUAUUGGUUGAUAAUAGAUGAGAGAACUUUAAUAUUUGAUAGAGUUUUUCAAUGAUUUGACAAUUAAUGAAAGGCAUUUUUGUCAUUUUAUUACACUAAGGGAGGUCUCCGUAAUUAUGUACAUCUCAAGAGAGCCAAGUGAAAUUGUUAAAAACCUCAGGGGAGGUUUCUGAAAUUAUCCCUUACAAUUAUUGCACUCCUAUAUUAAUAUGCUUUCUUAAAUUAGCUACACUUUUUUAACAAAACUAAUAUCUCCGCUCUUAUUCAGUGCCUUGUGCUCGUAUUUGAAAUCGUGGAACCUGCUUGUAUGAAUUUUUACAAUGUCAAUGUAUAAUAAAUUAAUCAUAAUUAAAAUGCUAUAGUUCAAGGAACAAAGUAGAUUUUUUUCCCUUUUUUCGUAAGUGGGAGGUUUUGAAUUCAAGAUCUUCUACUUUACAAUUUUUCCUACCUCACUGGUCGACCCAGACACCUCCCCCCCCCCAACCAACACCACCACCACCAAAACCCCAACAAGGAACAAAGUAGUUUAUUCUGAAUAACAAGAACUAUAAAGGGUUUUUGGUCAAAUUUAAUACUAGAACAAGUUUAAAAGCCAAUGGCUUGGAGUAAUUUUAAAUUCAAUCUUAUAAACGGUUGCCCAAAACACAUGGGAUAAAACCCGUAUAAUAAGAUACUUGAUCAUUAAUCCUGGAAUCUACCAAAAUUUAAUUCAAGCAAAACUUCUACAACUUAUAUUUAAAUGCCAAUAAAAUCUGAUAUAGAAUACUUCAAAUCAAUUGCAAUAUCCAAUGCAUGAAAUCAAUGAAUUAAGCCUAAUUUGCUGGAUCCCACAAUGGCAGCCGGUGGCGAAUCAGGAUGACGGUAGCAGCAUCGAUGGGUAUUGGGCUGCAAACAGGGGGCACAUGAGAUAUUACGUCGACCGUGAUUUUCAUAGUUGCAUUGGUUGAUGCAGUCGAGUCCGUCAUUGCUUCCCUAAAAAAAAAAAAAAAAAAAUCUGUUAUUGCAUGUUCCCACGUAUGUGGGAUUGCUGCUCUCUUCUGCUUUGCUGUCUGCAUCAACCACAAUACGAACUUUUUAAUAGGGUUGAUUAUACGUUAUACAAAUAAUAAUGUCAAAUUUUCAUAUGAAUAAACAGGUACAAAAAAAGAAAUACUGGCCUUGUUUGGAUCACAGUUUUCUAAAAAAAAAAAUUUAUAUUUUUAUAAACAUAUUUUUUAAUCACUUUUUUACUUCACAUAUAUCAAAUUAUUACAUUAUUUUUUUUUAAUAAAAGCUCUUAUAAUUAGCCAAUCCAAACAGGAGCUAAGGAUCUUGAUUCUUUUGGAGCUGCUAUUAGGUUUAUGCUCCGGUGCAAAUCUAACCAAACUUGAGAUUUCUGCUUAACUAUUUUCUUUCUUUCUUUCUUCAUUAUUUUCUACUUAACUAUUUGAUAAAAAUUCAAUAACUUCAUUUUCUCAUUAUUUUCUUAUUAUUUUCUUUCUUCCUUCAUUAUUUUCUACUUAACUAUUUGACAAAAAUCCAAUAAUUUCAUUUUCGUAGUUCUAGGCCUUGUUUCAUUUGAUAUCAUUUGCUGUCGACAAAGCUAUUUGAAGUAUGAAGCUCAUAAUAAUCUUUCCAGUCUACACAUUCAUUUUUUUUUCUAAGUUACUAUUUAUCUUGCUUCCACUAGCUAUGUAAUUUAAUCAUGAACUUGUAACCUUGCACACUUCAAAUGUUUUUGCAGGCUUGAAUGGAUGAAUUCACAUGGUUCAUCACAUGGUUCAGUCGAACACUUAUCAGCAACUAGUCAUGUUGUCAAUUGCCUGGCCCGCCUGAAUAAAGAAAUAGGAAGCCUAUGCAUAGACACCAAAGAUGACUUCCAAGUGCAAAUGUCUGAUGACAAGAAUGGAAAAUUGCUUGUGUUUUGCUCAUUAGACAAUGUAUUCUUUUUUAUUAUUUUCCAUAAAGUGAAAUUUUCCAAAAGUUGGUUUUAAUAAGCAUAUUGAUAUUAUAUUAAUAAGCAUAUAGCUAUUUCAUGCAAGAAAUCAUGGGUAUAGUUAGAGGUGGCAAUAUGGAUAAAUGGUUCAUAAUUGGUUUUGACUUAAUGGAUGGUGGAUGAAAUUCAUCCAUUAAAUAAAAACCAAUUAUCCAUUUAAAUAUUUUGGUAACUUUUUUUUUUUGGGUCAUAUCCUCGGUAUGCAGUAGCCACUUUGGACCCUGACUAAUCCGGAGUUGAGCCAGGUUGCACCCCAUAAGAGGCGCAAGCUCUCCCAGCACCUGUCUCUCCAUUCACAAGACUUGAACCUGAAACCUUGCUUAAGGGGAGCCAAGCGCCUUGCCAGUCAAACCAAGUACAGCACUUGGCCUAACAGCAAGGGUGGUCCCUCUCGUUUCUUAACAUCAGAUGAAACUUUCAUCAUGAAAGCAUUUCCUUAAAUGCAUGCCACAAUAGCACAAGACAGAAACAUGGUUUUUAAGUAAAUGGAUAUGUUUGGUUUUUGUGGAUAAUCCAUAUAAAUCCAUUUAAUUAAUGGUUUUACUGUGGUCAACCAUUUAAAACCAAUACUAUAAAUGAAUAAUCCAAAUCCAUUUAAUUAUGGAUUAUAUGGAUGGAUAAAUGGAUCUCAAUCCAAAUUGCCACAUCUAGGUAUAGUUAUCAUUCACCUUCUAUUGAUUUAUCUUACCAAGAAUUUAAAUUAAGGUUAUUAUUUAUCAGAAAUAAAUGUUCUUAGAAUGUUUGUUGUGAAUAAGCAUGUUCAUGAUAUAUAUAUAUAUAUAUAAGCCACUUAUGGAUAUAGCAUGUUUGCUAUAUAUUACUAAAAUUUCUGCAUCACACAGUGAAAUUAGUCCUUUGGCUUAUAUCUGAUUCAUGUCGAUUUUCAGUGUAUGGAUAAUAGAAGAAUUUGAGUUUUGGAGAAGUAAUACGUAAAUGGCUACCACCCAUGGGACCUCAUUGGGAUCAAUCAUCAUGUAUCCAGAUAAAGCUAACAUCCCAAGAGGUGAGAAGUCAAAUUGAUUUGAAUUAUGAACACAAUGUUGUCAUUCCGUUUUUUUUUUUUUUUAAACAAAAACUGAUAGCUGACCUUUCCACUAUCAAGUAAUAUGUUUGGAGCUCUCUCCUGGUAUAUACAUGCUUACCUAUUCGAAGGAGGGAAGGUUAUUUUAAGGCAAGUCCAGUGGCGCAGCUGGAUUUAUGCUUAAUACUAAGGAGAAGUUUGAACAUUUUCACCAAUUAUCCGCAAAGGGUGUGCAAUUUUGCAUUAGGAUUUUGAAUAUUUUCGCUUUUUUAUUAUUUAUUGUCACUCGAGAACACUUUCACUUGUUAUCCUCAAAAGGCAUGCUUGAUUUUUUUUUUAUUUUUAUAAAAGGAAGAGCAUUGGAAAGAAAAUAAAAGGAGAGAGAAAAAAGGAACAAAGAAAAUUGGCAUUUUGAAUAGUUCUUUCCGAAAAUUUUUUGUAUCCUUUAAGGAGUAAACUUUAUCAGCUACUUAUGGUCACGUGUUUUUUACUGUGCAUAUUUUUCUUGUGUGUGUGGGCACACCAGUAUAUAUGAUGUAUUAGAUUAAAGAGGAAAUAUAGUGGUUAAGGUUGAGAUUUCAGAAUUUAAAAGUUCUGGAAUCUAAUCCUCCUUUCCAAUUCCCAUCUUUUAAAUUCCAUUCCUUUCCUGCUAGAGAUAAUUUUUUUUAAAAAAAGAAAGACAUAACAAAAAUGUGUUCAUAUGGCUCAUUUCGCCUUUUCCAUUCCGUAUUUCCAGCAUUUUAAGGAAUUCACGGCAGAUCAUAUCUUCAAAUUUAUUUUGUUUAGAUUAAGAAAGAAAGUUUUCUCUGCAUUUUCUUCCAUGAACAGGGAACAAAAAUUGUACUUCAACAACCACAAAAAGUAAGACACAUUUGAAGCUCCAAAAGAAGUUGGAAAGAGCUCUGUUUAGAAUGAGAUAAUUGAUUUCCGUCAGUGACAGAUGCCGACUUCACUCGAAAAGCGACGUAAAGAAUCAUGUGGCCAGUAUUUCAUUGGAUUUGCAGGCUAAUCCAGCAGCCUUUACAGUGAAGUUACAUGUAUGUAUCUCAUAUUUCUGUAAUUAUUUAUUAAAGUGAAAUGUCUAUAUUAUUUAUUUUAGGGUUAAAUGCAAAAAAUCCCUACAAACUAUAUACCGAGUUGCAGUUUACCCCCUAAAUUAUAAUAAUAGGCAUUUUGUCCCCUUCAAUGAUGUGUUUGGACAAAUCUACCCCUUUUAUUUUAAGCAUUGUUAUUUUUCUUUUUACCCUUCCAUUUUCUUUUUAAAUUCUUUCUUAUUUUUCUUUAAACAUUGUUUGAAUAAGUAGACUAGAUUAGUCAAAAUUUGUUUAUUUCUUAAUUUUGUAUGUCAAUAUUUUAUAAAAAAAAAUCUAUGGAAUACAAGAUUUUUUUUCCAAAUGUUGAAGUCAAUGUCAUUUAAGAAAUUGAACUUUUCAAAUAUAUAAUAACAAAAUAGAGAAAUUGAUUAAUCAAUUAUUAGUAGUAUCAACAACAGAAAAGAUGAACUACUAUUGUUGUUUAUUCUUAUUUUUUAUUUCACUACAAAUAACAAUUGCUAACUUUUCUUUUUUAUGUGAUAUAUACUAUGUUACUUUUGUUAUAAGUAGUUGAGUAACUGUGAACUCUUAAUUAGUUUAUAGGUACUUCAAUUGUUGAAUUACUAGAUUAAUACACUUUACAAUGUAAGCUACAUAUAUUUUGUAAUAACAAAGAGUUUAUGACAAAUUAUUAAGAAUGAAUUUAACAAAUAAACAAAUUAAAAAAGCAGUUUAAAAAAUAUUAAAAUUUUUGAUGUUAGUCUUUUCACAUUGGAGAGAGAUGUUGACUAGUUCCAAGAGAGAAGGAGUUUAUGACAAAUUAUUAAGAAUGAAUUUAACAAAUAAACAAAUUAAAAAAGCAGUUUAAAAAAUAUUAAAAUGUUUGAUGUAAGUCUUUUCACAUCGGAGAGAGAUGUUGACUAGUUCCAAGAGAGAAGGAGAACAAAAAGAAAAUAAAAGGAAAAAAAUGGAAAAAGCUAACAGAGAAAAAAAAGAAGAAAGGGUUUAAGAUAGAGGGAUAGCAUUGUCCAAACAUAUCAUUCAAGGGGACAAAAUGCCUAUUAUUAUAGUUUAAGGAGUAAACUGCAACUGGGUAUAUAAUUUAUGGGGAUUUUUUGCAUUUAUUUUAAACAUAUAUACUAAUUAGUUUUUAUUUUUUUGAGUUCGAUUAAGUUCAAACUUGAGCUUGAACUCAAGUACAAGUUUUGCAGAAUUUUACAUAGAAAGUUCAUUAAAUUCGAAGAUAAAAUUAGAUCGAAUUCGAUUUGAUUGGAUCAAAACUGAACUUGAGCCGUCCCAUUUGCUGCCAUUAUAACUGUCAGAUAUGACAUGUACUCAACUGGGCACGUAGAAAGCUUUUUUGUUUGAAGAAACGGAUAUGAAAAGUUACAUAAAAGAACUAGUACAAAUACAGCAGUCAAAUAGUACAAAUACAUCAGGGAAUAAAUCCAAAGAAUGAUAAAAUUCUAGCAGAGGGACAGUGAGAGAGUUUGUAUCGAUGGAAACUUGAUAGCGAUCGUCAAUUAAUAAUAAUAUUCACACUUGAGGAGAAAUGUCGUAGUGAGUAGCAGCCAUGCCAUUGGGUAGUUAGGCUUUAAUAGGCUCUUGCUCUUAUUGGAUGAUUUCUCCAUCUUUGAUGUCCUUUGCCUCCUUGGACUUAAAUUACUUUUUCUGAAACCACUAUCGGUCCAUCCUUUAGAUAAUGAGUGUAUGGUUGGGAAUAUUUGGAUUGAGUUAACUUUAGGCCUUCCUUAUCUAACACAGGGGUAUCUGGGGGUAGCGGUCUGGGACUGGAUACCUGACACCGCCAUUAACCCCAACUAAUCCCACUGCGCCUGAGAGAGCGGGCCCCACCGAAUCAUCAGGAAUUUACCCCGGCUGCCCGAGCUCGGAAUCGAACCCAGGCCCUUCUCACUCAAUGGAGCUACAAGGACCGCCCGAGCAAACCGUGGGGGGCCCUUCCUUUCUAUUAUCAACACUUCAUCUCACGCCCCACCAUGUUAGGUCACUCUGAGGUGUGUCUUAAUUUCUUAAGAUUGUUUGACAAAAAAUAAAAAAAUAAAAAAAGUGUUGUUUCAUGAAGUAAUUAAACUUUUUUGUUUUAACUUGAAAUUUUGGAAGAAGAAAAGUUUUUUCUCUCGAACAUAUAUGGGGCAAUUCUCAUGAUGUUUAAAUAUGAAGGAAACUAAACCAAAUUUUCAAAGGUGUUACGAAAAUCAACUGGAAAGAAAAAGAAAAGGAACAGUGCAGUGGAUAUAAUAAAUGCAACCUACAUUUAAGAGUGACAAAUAACUAAUUAAUCUCCUUACUCAAUAGCAACUCAACUCAAGACAAUCUCAACCAAAAGAGGGGUACAAGAUUAGUAUAAGAUUAUCAUACAGAGAAGAGAUUAGUAUAAAAUUACAUCUCCUAAAUAUGUCAAUCUAUCCAAUCCCUACAAAAAUUUUUCAAAAAAAUCGAUGCUUAGUUUAAAACUUUAAAUGUUUUUCAUCUUGUCAAUGUUCCUUAAUAAUAUGGCACAGCAACAAUAUUUUACAUAUUCUACGGGCACAUUUUCAACCAUCAAGGAUUUAUCGUAGCGCUUGCAUCAAUCAAAACCACACUAUAC